ACCAAUGCAUAAGUAUCUAAAUUGUUCCUCUUCAGGUCACCAAGUUCAUACCUGACAGCGGCAAGAUUAAAAGUCAUCCCAUCUAUUUUUUCAUUAAGCUUUGUCGAUUCCUUCUCAUGGUUGCAAUUUUGAAAGUUUGCUUCACCCUCUCCGUUUGUUUUUAUGCUUUUAUGGAGCCCUCCUCAGGAGUUCAAAUAAUUUCACGGUUAUCUAUUUGAAGUUUUUUACAUGAAGAUAUGGAUUAAAGAAUGCCGACUGCUCAAAAUCACUCAAGCAACCAAGUCUAUGAUUAUAAGCCAAAUUUCAUGAUUUAACUGUAUUGAUCUAUAAUAUAUGAGAUUGCAUAAUAUAUAUUCUUUGAUAGAUAAAUGUGUCUAGUUAUGGACGAAAUUUAUAAAAUCAAAUUUGGACUUCUCUUCUUAAAGAUUUUCACAAUUUAGUGCACAAAGGUCACAACUAUCUUGAAACUACACAAGACCCGAAGUUUCUGCGUUAAUUGAUAUCAAUUAACAAGGAAUAAAAUUACAAACUAUACAUUUCUAGAAAUAUUUAUUCCUCAGGAGUUCAAAUAAUUUUACGAUUUUCUAUUUGAAGUUUUCUACAUGAAGAUAUGGCUUAAAGAAUGCUGACUGCUUAGAAUCACUGAAGCAACCGAGUAAAUGAUUAUCAGCCAAAUUUCAUGCUUUAACUGUAUUGAUAUAGAAUAUAUGAGAUUGCAUAAUAUAUAUUCUUUGAUAGAUAAAUGUGUCUAGUUAUGGAAGAAAUUUACAAAAUCAAAUUUGGACUUCUCUUCUUAAAGAUAUUCACGAUUUAGUGCACAAAGGUCACAACCGUCUUCAAAAUUACACGAGACCCGAAGUUUCUGAAUUAACUGAUAUCAAUUAACACGUAAUAAAGUUAAAAACUAUAUAUGUCUAGAAAGAUAUAUUCCUCAGGAGUUCAAAUAAUUUUACAAUUUUCUAUGUGAAGUUUUCUACAUGAAGAUAUGGCUUAAAGAAUGCUGACUGCUCAGAAUCACUGAAGCAACCAAGUAAAUGAGUAUCAGCCAAAUUUCAUGAUUUAACUGUAUUGAUCUGGAAUAUAUAAGAUUGCAUAAUGUAUAUUAUUUGAUAGAUAAAUGUGUCUAGUUAUGGAAGAAAUUUACAAAAUCAAAUUUGGACUUCUCUUCUUAAAGAUAUUCACAAUUUAGUGCACAAAGGUCACACCCAUCUUGAAACCACACAAGACCCGAAGUUUCUGAAUUGACUGAUAUCAAUUAACAAGGAAUAAAAUUACAAACUAUAUAUGUCUAGAAAGAUUUAUUCCUCAGGAGUUCAAAGAAUUUUACAGUUUUCUAUUUGAAGGUUUCUACAUGAAUAUAUGGCUUAAAGAAUUCUGACUACUCAGAAUCACUGAAGCAACCAACUUAAAAAAUGUAUUAGUUCUUUGUUUCAGCCUCUUUCCCCUAGAAGCACGACUGCCAGACAUUACAUGCUCAUUUUUCUUACAUUUCUACAUUUUUUUUAAUUCUUUUUUGUUUUGUCAAAUUAUCGAACAAGUGUUUGAUUUUAAAGCAUUGGUCAUUACAUGGUUAUAUAGCUGAAAUCUCCACAUAACCAUCUCUUUACUCAACAACAAAAUAAUCAUAACAGUUCUAAAUAUCAUAUUACAAAGAAUAUAUACAGUACUAACUUUGUUGAUCAAUAUCCAUUGCUUUCUUGUAAUGAUAGCUCCCAGAUUUACCUUGAACAUAAAUUUUUUGAAAACCCAAAAACUUGAUUAAUUGACAAAAAACUCUACUCAAAUUUAUUCAGAUUGAUUGACCAAAAACUCCACUCAAAUUUGUUCCUUGAUGAGAUAUUGUUUGUUACUUGCAAAUAUGAGUUUGAAUUGUGUUUUGUUGAUAGGAACUUAUUCUACCAACAGUCAGCAGUUAACAAGUUGUAUUUGUCAAAAUAAACCGUGUGGGAUCGUGUAGUUUGCUCAAGUCCGAGAAAUUUUAGUGACCACCCCUACAAUUUUAAAUAUUCUCACAAUUUCACUUAAAUAACAUAUUUUGUUUAAUUACACAAAAUUUAUGGGAAUACUUAAUUACAUUUUAAAGUUUAUUUUACUAUGUAUCCUACAUCAUUCAUUACUGGCUUUUCGUAAUUUUAUUAAGUAAUAAUGUCAGGCCAAACAUGAAAGAGUUUCAACAUUUAAUUAAUUUGAAAACUCAAUGCGAUACUCAAAAUUGAUAAAAUAGUACUUAAUUCAUAUCCUUAAUGUUAUAAGAUAAUUCGAUUAUCAUGUAAUCAAANNNNNNNNNNNNNNNNNNNNNNNNNNNNNNNNNNNNNNNNNNNNNNNNNNNNNNNNNNNNNNNNNNNNNNNNNNNNNNNNNNNNNNNNNNNNNNNNNNNNNNNNNNNNNNNNNNNNNNNNNNNNNNNNNNNNNNNNNNNNNNNNNNNNNNNNNNNNNNNNNNNNNNNNNNNNNNNNNNNNNNNNNNNNNNNNNNNNNNNNNNNNNNNNNNNNNNNNNNNNNNNNNNNNNNNNNNNNNNNNNNNNNNNNNNNNNNNNNNNNNNNNNNNNNNNNNNNNNNNNNNNNNNNNNNNNNNNNNNNNNNNNNNNNNNNNNNNNNNNNNNNNNNNNNNNNNNNNNNNNNNNNNNNNNNNNNNNNNNNNNNNNNNNNNNNNNNNNNNNNNNNNNNNNNNNNNNNNNNNNNNNNNNNNNNNNNNNNNNNNNNNNNNNNNNNNNNNNNNNNNNNNNNNNNNNNNNNNNNNNNNNNNNNNNNNNNNNNNNNNNNNNNNNNNNNNNNNNNNNNNNNNNNNNNNNNNNNNNNNNNNNNNNNNNNNNNNNNNNNNNNNNNNNNNNNNNNNNNNNNNNNNNNNNNNNNNNNNUUAUUUAUUUGUCAUAUUCUUUUAUUAUUAGUUUGGCAUAUUCUUUUUACUAAUAUUUAAAUCUUUUAGACAUACUACUAAAAUUAAAUAAUUAUACCUAACAUUCACAAUAAUUUCACAAUGAUUUAUAAAAUUUAUAUUAUUUUUUACAAUAUCUUAUUUAAUUAUGUCUACGUUAAUAUAAAUCUUAAAAGCAAUUUUUGAAUUAAUAGAUUUUAGUUAAUCCAUCAAGAUAGACUAAUAAUAACUUAAUAUUAGCAAAAUUUUCGUUGUACACGUUAUUUUAUCAACUAUACUUAUUAUAACAUUUUAUUUGUAUCAUAUGAUAUUUAUUUAUUAUUUUUAUCUUAUUACUAUAUUUAUAUUUAUUUAGAUUAUUUUAAUCCAUCAUUAAAAAAAAGAUUAUUUUAAUCAAAAGGUAUAAUAGUCAUUUAUGAAACUAAGAAAGUCUGUGUGAUCAUUUAUGAAACUAAAGGGAUCUAUAUGAUUAUUUAAGCAAACCUUAGGGGUGUGAGUGACUUUUUUCUAAAUUAAUAUUAAUUUAAAAUUAACAAAUUAAUGUUUACCCGCAACCUGUAGGUUACCUGUUAUAUUUUAAUUAAUUAUCUAAUUAUUUAUUAUAUUAAAUUAAUGAUUCAGAUUAAAACUCUUACAUCGGAUGGUCCACAUUAAUCAUACUAUCAAUGCUAUAAAAAUCCAUACAGUAUCAUAGAAAAAUCUUUUGUUUUUUCAACUCUGUCUUCUUCCUCAUCCUUCUUCUUUUUUCUUAUUUUCCUUUUUUUUUUUAUUUCAUCUCACAAAACAAUGGACCAAACUCAGGAACAAAUAUUCACAAAUAAUUCUUCACAUUGAAGACUUCCUUUUACAGUUACUAAUAAUUCUUCGGAGACGAGAAAUAAUUAUGACGGAUCAUGUUAGUCAUAGCCGGUACUGAUUUCACAGUUUAUCAAUUGGUAAAUUCAUGUGCACCAAAUAGUUAGUUUGGUGGCCAAGAGAAGCUAGUGGAGAUGUGCGCGGACUAUAACCUUUCAAGUCUUAGAAACUCAUGACUAUUAUAACCACAACACUUCUUUAAGAUUUUUUUUUAAGUCCUACAUUUACAACUUAUCAUCUCGUUAACAAUGCGUUCAUCCAUUUGUCAACAAAGUGCUCAUCCAUUUAUUAGCACGUAUAUAUAAUGUUAUAAAAAAUCUUAUGCGCUUCUUUUGGAUAGAUUAAUGAUGCUCCGUUUAUCCCUUUAUAAAGUCAAUUGGCAUUCACAAAUAAGCAUGUUCCCAUAGACUAAACAGACAAUUUCAAGAAUUACUGUUUAAAAAAAGGAUAGCACUAUUUAUACUCUAAAAAUUAUCAUGAUAAUUUUACUAUCCCAUACACUAAUAUACUAAUGUCAAAUAAUUAAGUUUACUUGAGUACAUUUGAAUCCACCAAAUUAAAUUCAAAUCUCUUUACUUAUUAAACCCUUGUUAAAAUUUCAAAUUUUAUAUUAUACUUUAUAAAUCCAUCUUAAUGCCCAAUAUACCCUUGAAACUAAUUCAUGAUUUUCUGCAACUUUUUUUUUUCUCUUCUUGUUCUUCUUCCAUCUUUCCAACCUUAAGCUGUUCAAUACCAAAACUAAUGAUGGCCAACGCACGGCACAACCCGUCAAGCAUCGACCCACUAGGGCCUGUGGGUCGUGACCACUUUUUUUAAUAUGGGCCAGGCACGACCCACAUCAUUUUUUUUCCCUUUAAGCGCACAUGUCCAGCGUACCCAAAAAAACCCACGUGCCUACGGGCUUUAUUCAAUCACAUGCCUGAAGUGUUUUUUUAAUCCCAUCAGCCUAAUAAUAAUAAUAAUAAUAAUAAUUUUAUAGAUCAUAGUAAUGAUUAAUGAAAAAUAAAUUUACAAUCCUAGAAUAACAAUUACACCUAAUUUUAUUUGAACUACUAAUAUUAUAAUUGCACUUGAACUCCAUUGAAUGAAAAUAUAAUUUUUCAUUUAUCAUAAAAAUAUUUCGUUCCUAAUUUUUUUAUAUGUAUAAAUAUGAAAAAUAUUUCAUUCACAAAUGAAACAUAUCUCCAUUAACUAUUAACUAAGUUAUGAUUUCAUAAAUGAAAUAUUAAUGUCGUAAAAUUUUUUAUUUAUCAUUUAUAAAAUCAUGAUAUUUAUAAUUUUAUUUAUUAAAAUCAGGAUAUUAAUUUAUGGGAAAAUAUACACCGUCCAUCCGUUUUUUCCAACUUUUUCAAAAAUGCACAAUUCCUUUUUUUUUUUUGCUGGAAUCCACCCAGAGUUACAUUUUGUUUCACUUUUCCACUUCCAUUUGGAAUCCGUUAAGAAAACUAAUGGAAACUUUAAAAAAAUAACCAUUUUACCCCCAAAAUGAAAAUUACAAUUUCACCUUAAAAAAUGCCAAAAAUAAUCAGAUUUAAUNNNNNNNNNNNNNNNNNNNNNNNNNNNNNNNNNNNNNNNNNNNNNNNNNNNNNNNNNNNNNNNNNNNNNNNNNNNNNNNNNNNNNNNNNNNNNNNNNNNNAAACUCUACUUAUUUUAAAUUCAAUUGAUAGUUUGUGAAAUUGGGCUAUUUUUAAUACUAUUAUUAUAAUUUAGCAUUCUAAUUACAGACAUAUUUUUUUUAAAAAAAACCUGCAUUUGAUGGUUGUGGAAUUAAUUUAUUUAUUAACCGAUGGGGAAAAUAUUUAGAUUUAAUUUGAUUAUUUUUGGUAAUUUUUAGGGUGAAAUUGUUAUUUUCGUUUUGGGGGGUAAAAUGGUCAUUUUUUAAAGUUUCCGUUAGUUUUCUUAACGGAUUCCAAACGGAAGUGGAAAAGUGAAACAAAAUGUAACUUUAGGUGGAUUCCAACAAAAAAAAAGAAUUGUGUAUUUUUGAAAAAAUUAAAAAAAACGGGUGGACGGUGGAUAUUUUCCCUUAAUUUAUCCAUUAAAAAAUCCUUUGCUAUAUUAAAGGUACAAUUGAUUUUGGCUUCUUAUACUCAUUUUUCAAUGACUACGAGCUUGUUAUAUAUAACGAUAGCGAUUGGGGUAGAGAUACAAAUGAUCAAAAGAACAUUACAGGAUUCGUGUUUUUUAUGGCAGACACUGCUUUCACAUGGAUGUCAAAUAAGUAGCCAAUUGUCAUACUUUCCACCUAUCAAAAUAAGUAUGUAGCUACCACAUCAUCUGUUUGUCAUGCAAUUGAAAUGCAAGUUAUGCAACCCAAGAGGGGGGGGGUGAAUUGGGAUUUUAAAAUUUAUGCAAUACAAUUCGCACAAUAAUUUAAUCUAUUGCCUUAAUAAAAUGAAACAAUAAAUUCAAUCAAGCACAAUAUUAAAAGAGUAAGGGAAGAGAAAACAAACACAAGGAUUUUUACGUGGUUCGGCUAUCCCUGCCUACGUCCACGCCUCAAAGCUCACCCGGCUUGAGGAUUUCACUAUCCAAGCCUCCAAGGCUUCAAAUGUUUACAAUUGACUUCCAAGGUGUCAAUGGACCUUUACAAUCAAGAGAUUUUCUCCCCAAUCUCUUCACCCCAAGUGUUUCCCACACUUAUACACUCACAAUUUGAUAAGAAAUGAAAAUUACAACAAAAACUCUCUCUAAGAGUGGAUAUGCAAAUAAUAGCUCAACAAUGAUUCAAUCUAUGAUGAUUUGCGUUUUGGAAGCUCAAUAUUGAAAUAUAAGUGUGCAACCCAAGAGGGGGGGUGAAUUGGAAAUUUAAAAAUUAUCCUAGCAAAUCCACACAACAAGCAAUCUAAUGUCUUAAUAAAAAUUGAAAGCAAUAAGUUCAAGAAAAGCACAAUAAUUAAAGAGUAAGGGAGAAGAGAAACAAACACACGAAUUUUUACGUGGUUCGGCAAUCCCCGCCUACGUCCACGCCUCCAAGCGAUCCAAGCUUGAGGAUUUCACUAUCCAAGCCUUUCCAAGGCUCAACGAUUACAAUUGACUUCGAGGUGUCAAUAAACCUUUACAACAAAGAGAUUAUCUCCUAAUCUCUUUACUCAAGUGUCUCACACACUCAAACUCUUACAAUUGAGAUGAAUAAAUGAAGGUUACAAUGAAACUCACUCAAUGAGUAGAUAUUCAAAAAUGAAGAACAAGAAAUGAUUCAAUAUUUGUAUUUCGCAAGUUUGAAGGCUCAAGAUAUCACGUGUACUUUUUGUUUUUGCUUGUUGGAGAGCUUCAAAAUGAGUUGGAUUUGAGUUCUUAUAGUUUGAGCUCAAAAACUAGCCGUUACUCACAUUAUGGGCGUAUCCGGUUUACCGUUUAUGGACUCUGGUAAGCCGGAUUUAUGUUAUCGUUAAGGCAAAAAUUUGAAUUUUGCCUAUCCGGCUUGCCAGUUACAAAAUCCGGUAAACCAUUUUCAUUCUGGAUGCUUACUGCCCCGUAUCCGGUUUUCCAGUUUUUAUAUCCGGUAAGCCCGCUUGCUACAGUAAAUUUUCAGUUUGACCCCAAAACUUUAUAAAACUGUAGUAUGACCCAAAACGUUAUGAAACUUUACAAAUAGGUCCAAUUUCAGAAUUUCUAAGUAAUGCUUCGUUAAUCCCAAAACUUUUUGAAAUUAUGAUUUCGCUCAAACUUUGUGAAAUUAUAGAAUAACCCAAAAAUAUUUAAAUAGUUUCAAAUAGGUCCAAAUCCGAAAUUUAAAAUGCUAUCAAAGAGUUUAAAAUUACUUUCAUUUUAGUCCAAAAUGCUUUAAUUCCAUAACAUCAUUUUCUUAUUACAAAAGCACAAUUCAUAAAUCUUUACUUAAUAAAUACAUGUGGUUUGUUAUCAUCAAAAUCAAUAUUUAUAGCCAUAUCGGCUAACAAAUAUAUGUUGUAUGAUCUUAUAUUUGCUUGCAUUAGUUCUUACAAUGAAGUUUGAGUUGAGUUUUUAUAGUGAAAGACCGAAAACUAGCCGUUAUAGGAAAAUUUCCGUGCCCAAGCGGUUAGUCGCUUGAUUAUCCAGCUAGCCGCUCAGGAACAGUGAUAUUACCGUUAUUUUUGAAUUUUGCUACAGUAACACUAUUCACUAAAAUUACACUUUGACCGAAAACUUUCUAUAAUUAUACGAUGACCCAAAAAGUCAUAAAACUUUGUAAAUAGGUCCAAUUUUAGAUCUUCCUAAAAAUAGUUGUUUUUCCCAAACUUUCUGAAAUUAUGAUAUGGCCCCAAAGAUUUUAUUAUUUCGCACAAAGGUCAUUUUCAACAUAAUACCCAUAUUUUUCAAAGUUCUCAAAACCUUUCACUUUAGUCCAAAAUAUUUAUAAAUUAUAGUAUGGCCCAAAACAUUUCAAAUGUUUGUAAAAACAUCCAACUCCGAAAUUUAAUACUUAUUUAAAAUCAAAGAUUUAAAAUCUUAGCAUUUAAGUCCAAAUUACUUAAAUCCACAACAUACUUUACUUUAUAAAAAUAAAACCUUUUAGUUAAUGAAAAGUAUUUAAUUAAAUUAAUCUCUUGAGCUUCUCAAAUGCUAAAUCAUGCAUCAAUUAAAUCAUACCGGCUUUACAAGAAUUUAUCGCACUAAUUUGUUCGUUGAGCUCUAAACUAUAUUCUUGAUGUCGCCGUUGUCCGUUGAGUGUCUUCAAUCUUAAUUUCACUUGAUUCACUUGCAUAAAUAUUAUCCUUAAAAAACUAGUGAAAAUGUGAAAUACAAUAUUUAUUAUUUAUACUUAAGACACAUGUUUGUUAUCAUCAAAAUUACAUUAUGUGUAGCCUUUUAGGCUAACAACAAUUUGGCUAAAGAAUUUGUUGAAGGAGUUGAGUUUGCCGCAAAGAAAGCCAAUCAAAAUUUGUAUCAAUAAAAAGUCAACAAUUGCACUAUCCAAGAAUCCAAUUUUUCAUGAUCGAAGUAUGCAUAUCGACACUCACUAUCAUCUCAUAGUUGAAUACAUUGAAAGAAAAAAAGUACAAGAAAAGUAUGUCAUAUCACAUUAUUACAUUACUGAUAUCUUACCAAGCUGCUACAGUAAGAAGACUUCAUUAGGUUGAGAACACUACUUGGCAUUGUAAAAUAAGUCUUAGAGGGAGAGUUAUGAAAACAAAUUUGUCUUANNNNNNNNNNNNNNNNNNNNNNNNNNNNNNNNNNNNNNNNNNNNNNNNNNNNNNNNNNNNNNNNNNNNNNNNNNNNNNNNNNNNNNNNNNNNNNNNNNNNNNNNNNNNNNNNNNNNNNNNNNNNNNNNNNNNNNNNNNNNNNNNNNNNNNNNNNNNNNNNNNNNNNNNNNNNNNNNNNNNNNNNNNNNNNNNNNNNNNNNNNNNNNNNNNNNNNNNNGUGUCACAAAAAUAAGAGAUCAAAUUUAAAGAAGAAAAAGAAGCAAGCUUCUAAGUGUUUGUGAAAGUUGAGUGUUUUAGAGCUUUCAUUAAUAAAAGUGGGUAUGUUUAAUCUUUCAAGUUCUCCAAUACCUAAUUGGGCAAGAAUUUUACUUCUUUUGUGCCCAAGAUGACAAAUUAAUUGAGUUAUUAAAGGCAUCCACUAGAGGUUUUCAAGCAACUUUAUUAAGGUGUAGAAAAGUCAUUAAAUUGUGAAGUUUAAUAGUAUAAUACCAUUGCGUUGUGACUUAAUAGCUUUUUCAAACUUUAACAAAUCCGAAAUUCUCUCUCUCACUCAUAUAUAUAUAUAUAUAUAUAGAAAUGCUCCAAUUUAGAAUUUUAAAAUACAGGAAAGUCCGAAAAAGUUUUAAAACCCUGCGGCUUUAAAAUGUUAAUUUUAUAAUAUUUUAAAAUUAUGCGAUUUUAAAUUUUUUUUGGAUUUUCCUGCAAUUUAAAAUUAUGGACCAGAAAACUACUAUGUGUGUGUGUGUAUGUAAAAAUCAAACAAAUUUAGAGAUUGUCGAUCCAAAGAUGAGAGCAUGUAAUUUACUUAUUAAUUCUAUAAUAGUAUUUUAUGUUAGAGGCAAUUUAAUAAUUUUCUUUUUUUAACCUAAAAAGUGGGUCAAGUGAGUAUUAUGAGGAUUCAAAUAAUUUAUCAUUAAGUUUUAUUUUGUACACUCUUUAGGGUUCUGAAAAAAUCUUUACUUAAACCAUCGAAAUUUUUAUGCAAUAAGAUAUUAGAAACAUACGGAAAUAUGACUUCCAUAAACUACUUAAAAUUUUCUUAAUUUAGCCGGCUUUAACGCACUUAUUAAUAUUCCGCUGUCUUGCAUCCUCAUUCUACAUUCGUUGGAAUGAUUUUCCUACCAAUGAGUCAACAAUGCCCUCACUCCUCGACAAGUUUGAAAAAAAAAAAUUGAAGCUCUUCAACNNNNNNNNNNNNNNNNNNNNNNNNNNNNNNNNNNNNNNNNNNNNNNNNNNNNNNNNNNNNNNNNNNNNNNNNNNNNNNNNNNNNNNNNNNNNNNNNNNNNNNNNNNNNNNNNNNNNNNNNNNNNNNNNNNNNCUGACUAAUGAGACUAGCCGACAAUUUUCCUCCCGAGGAAUUAUAUUGAUAACAUUUCAACUGAUUGUUGAUGAUGCUAAUUAAAGUUAUUGAAAUUUAAAGAUAUUAUCAGCUGUUGAUUUGAAUAUUACUCCAAUAUAGAAAAUGCUACAAAAAUUUAAAUUAAUUCAAUUUUGCGCCAACUGUAUAAAAUCUGUAUCAUCCAUCAAUGUUAUAUCCAUUGGGAAAAAGAAAAUCAAUUUUCCACCUAAUAAUUGCAAAUAGUAUCAAUUUCCACCCUUGAGUCUUGACUAAAGAAUACGACCUGUUUUUAUUUUUUUGCCUGUUUUUAUUGUCCUUUCACUUUCUUUAAUUUUUGUGCUUUAUGGAUUUGUUUGGCACACUUUUUGCAUUAAUUGUAUUGUGUUACGAUGUAUUGCAUUAGGAUAUCUACAUUGCAAUAUUAUGUUUGGCGCAACAUAGACAAUAUUAUGAUAAUAAUAUUAUUUUUAUAUUGAUGCCAAAAUUAAAUUAAUAUUAUUUAAAUUUAUUAAUAUUUUAGGAUUCCAUUAUUAAUUAUUGAAAUUAAGUAUUAAAUAAUUAUUUUUAUAUAUUAAUUUUAUAAUAAACAUGAUUUAAUCAUAUACUAUGAUUAAAUAAUAAAACACUACAAUACUAUGUUAUAAUAUUAAUAAUAUUAUAUUAUAAUCUAAUUUAUCUCUAUAUAUUAGUUAUUGGAAUAUAGUAUAAUCAUAUUAUAAUGUAGUAAAAUUUAAUAUUAUAUUUAAAAGUAUAAUACUAUAUAAUUACAUAAUAUAAAUUAAAUUAAAUUAUAUUAUAUUUAUAAAACAAUAUGAUAUUAAGUUAUAAAUUAAUUUUUAUUGAAUAAUAAAUGAUAAAAUAAAAUUAAAAUACUUUUUUCAUAUUUAAAGUAAAUAAUUAAAAUGAUUAUAUUUAAUGAAAUAAAAUAAUGUAUAAUCAUUUAUUAAUUAAAUAUUUAGUGUGUUACUAUCUUUUAUUAUUAAUUAAAUUAAAUUUUUAUUUAAAUAUAAAUUAAUAUAUAAUAAAUUUAAAUUUCCUAUAAUUCAUUAAAUAAUAAAAGUUAUAUGAUUAUAAUUAAAAUAUAAACAAUGUUUGAAUAUAAUACAACUGAAACCCUACCACCGUCUCCCCUGCGAAUCUAUUUUAUACACCUUUUCUUAUAUUAGCCAACUUUUAAAUGUAGUGCAAUGCAACUAAAAAUUUUAACCAAGCAUGAGUUAGCAUAAGAGUAGUGUUUUAAUGCAAUUGCAAUACAAUGUAAUGCGAGUUGCCAAAUGUAUCACAAAUUAUAAUGUGACACAAAAUGAAAGUGAUGGAAGACUUAUAUCCUUCUCAAAGAGAACAUUAUUAAUAAUUAAAAAAACUGAUAUAAAUGGAGUUUUAAUACCUUUUAUAUUUAAAUCCAAAAUAACGUAAAUUUAUCAAAAUAGGUAAAAUCAAGUUAUUUUUACAUAUUACAUGCACUAAAAUAAAUAUAAAACACUGACUUCCAAAAAAAAAAAAAGCAAAAUUGAGCUAAACUAAUAAAACUAAAAUGUAUGUAUAUUUCUUAAUAAUAUUACGCUAAACUAGUUUUCCAGAAAAAAAAUUCUUUUAUAAAAAUUUUUUAUAAAUGUUAAUUUUAAAUAAUAAAAUUAUUGAAGUAAUUGAUUUUUUUUAUGUAUUUAUAUGGGGGUGAAAAAGAAAUUUUUGAAUUUCAAUAUCAAUAAGGGUAAAAAAAAAGACCAGUUUAGAAAAUGAGAUUUUUAUUCCACAUUCUCAUUUUGAGUGGUCCUAUAAAAUUGAUUCUUAUUAUGGAUUGUAUUUUCUGAAAAAUAAACAAGAAUGUGACUGAUAAACAAGCACACCAUCAGUUCAAUUCCGUCGAUAUCCCUUCUUAUUUAAAUACCAUUCUUAUUUUUUCAAAAAAUUAAAAAAAAAAUAGAAGACUUCCGAUUUCAAGGGCAAAGUUUGCAAUAAAGUUGACAUAUUAAUUUUGCAACAAAACAACAAAUCUACCACUCACCUCUUGCUAAUGGUAAUAGCAAUCAUAAUCUGGCAACAUUUUAUUGGAGGGAUAUUAUAUACAUAGAUUAGAAAUGGGAUGUCGAGAAUAUUUUUGCUUCUAAUAGAAAAGGGAAAAUAAGGGGAAAAAGAAAAAAAAUAAACUGCAUAUAAGAAGUUGGAGACUUCCGAUUUCAAGGGCAAAGUUUGCAAUAAAGUUGACAUAUUAAUUUUGCAACAAAACAACAAAUCUACCACUCACCACUUGCUAAUGGUAAUAGCAAUCAUAAUCUGGCAACAUUUUAUUGGAGGGAUAUUAUAUACAUAGAUUAGAAAUGGGAUGUCGAGAAUAUUUUUGCUUCUAACAGAAAAGGGAAAAUAAGGGAAAAAAGAAAAAAAAUAAACUGCAUAUAAGAAGUUGGAGACUUCCGAUUUCAGGGCAAAGUUUGCAAUAAAGUUGACAUAUUAAUUUUGCAACAAAACAACAAAUCUACCACUCACCACUUGCUAAUGGUAAUAGCAAUCAUAAUCUGGCAACAUUUUAUUGGAGGGAUAUUAUAUACAUAGAUUAGAAAUGGGAUGUCGAGAAUAUUUUUGCUUCUAAUAGAAAAGGGAAAAUAAGGGGAAAAAGAAAAAAAAUAAACUGCAUAUAAGAAGUUGGAGCAUCCAUGUAUUAUUUAUCUAAGGCGCAACUCCUGAUGACCAAUAUAUUCCGUUUCUUGUUCGUGUAUAGUUUAUGAAAAAGCUUAAUGUAUGCUUUUCAAACAAAUAAUAAAUAAAUAUAAUGUGCCAUGAGAAUUUGGAUUAUAAAUCACCGUAACCAUAACAGCACCCAGUGAAAGCUGAUAGAAGCCUCCAUUACGCCUUUGUUUUACUCUGGAGGCUUGUAUCAGCUGGAACUUUCUUUGCAAAUAUUCUUGGAAAGACAAGCUGAGCCACCUUAAGAGCCUCAAUUUCAAAGUCUUGCUAACAUCUCACUACACAAGAAGAAAGAAUUAAUAUGUGCUUAGAUAAAAAAUUAGCAUAAGCUUAAAGGUUUUAAAUAACUAGUUACCUUGUAGCCUCCACCAAGACUGCUCUUAUGGUUUUCAAUGGAAAAACAAUUUCUGGCAUAAGCAUAUCUGCAUUUUCACCUGACACAAAUGUAGAUCAAAGUACCCUCACCUUAAUUCCCAACCCUCGAAUUUCACUCGUUUCCUUUUCAAAUUUCCAUUAUUCGAAAAAGGGGGAAACAGACGCAAACCUUUACCGAGGGGUUUAGGCUUGGAUCCCUCGAGUAGCUUGCUAACAACUGACCCAUCAACUCCAGCGCUAUAAGCAAUCGCGCUCACCAGCAUCUGCAGAUGCAGGCUCAACCAAUCAGAAGGCUCUGAAAAACUAGACAUUUUGUUACCAAUAUUCUCUACCAUGAUUCACUCUUGAGAUACAUAAAAGAUAAGGCUCAUGCCCCAUAACGAAAACCACGCAUGCAUUUUGUGAAGUAUAUGUCACUUUUCACCUUUCAACGAGGAAUAAUCUUAGCAGCCCUCUGCCUUUAGACAGAUAGACAAUAAGAGCUUUUAGAAAUAUCACAUACAUAAUUAAAAAGAAGAAUAAAGAAAACCUCAAGAGCAUAUUGGAUAGCUUGAACACCAAUCUUCUGACCAUGGUUAGCAGUUUGCAAUUUAUCCAACUCCUUGCAGGCAUAUAAAAGUGACAUCACACUAACUGCAAAUGCAUCAGAAUACAUAUAACAUUUGUAUGUCAUGCAUCAAUCAAACAAGAUAGACCAACAAAAGCCAAAAAUAUAAGAGGUUUACCAACUCCUUCCUUUGCAGCCUUGACAGCAUUUAUGGCAUUAGCAACUCUAUCCUUCUUUUCACGCACUUCAGCUUUAUUACUUCCACAGACCUUACAACAACAGCACCCGUUUCAUUUCAAAUCAGAAUACUUCCUUACCUAACAUCUCUAAUUCAACAAUCUUUCAUCUCAACGAGCCAAAUUUCAUUUAUAGCAUGAUGCAACAACAGAAUAAGAUGCAGUCAUGUCUUCUAAAUGCAAUUACUGUAACCAAACAAGCAAAUUGAAUUCAUCUUUGGCACGUUCCUAUUAGCAAGGAAUAUAUACUUCUACCAAAAUCCAGUUCCAAAACUUCACAUAUAUUAUAAUGUCUAAUUGACUGUUUGGUACUGUUUUUCUUCUCUUUUUCCCAUUUUAAAGUAUCAAAGUAUUUGUACGGUAUCAGUCUACUCUAUACUUCAAUUAUAAUCAUAUGAAGAUGGGAAUGUAAUAUGAAUCCAAAGAAUUAGUCAAUUAAUUAAAUCAUUUUAUCCAAAAUGACCUGAUCAUUGAUCCUCCCUAUAAAUGAGUUUAUUCAACUUUUUUAAUAGCAGAUAAAAGAAAAUUCAAAUUUCUUGGCUGGCCAACCAGGAUUUAGAGUUUAGACCUGGUCAUGACUUGGCCCAAAUGGAUCGUGCUAAUAGGUCAUGUUAGGCUGAGAACUUUCAUUCUAUGCCCAGCACAAGUCAGUUUCAAAGCUCUUGAAGAACUAAUUUACAAUUCCAAAUAACCAAACCUUUAUAACAGCAGCGAGAUAAGAGUGCUUUGUACAGCUCUCUUCAGGGAAAUCUUGUAAAUUUUCCAUUGUGAAUCUCCACUGUAACAACUGCAACAGACAUAUUUAAGAAAAGAAAAUUAGCGAAAGGGUAAGCAAGUUGUCCAAAAAUAUAGAAACAGCCCAAAGAAGCACAAAAGAGCCAAACCGUAUAAACUGAAAAGCAGAGUCGCUUCAAAUUAUAAACACAAUUGAAAAUUCUGAUAACUUGUUGGAAAAUCAUGUGAAAUGUCACAACACAGACCUUUUCAUGUCCUAUGCAAGCCUUACAAAGAAGGAUAACCGUCUGAUCCUUUGAUACCGUUAUCUACAAUGAUAAAAGAGGGCUAAGACAUUGUUUGAGCAAAACCUCGUCUCUCUUGUCAAUAUACACAAGGAAAUGAAAAUUAAUAUAUUACUAUGCCAAAGUUGUACCAGAAGAAAGGAUUAAAGUCCACCAGAAACAAGGAUGAGAAGAACGUUCUCAUGAUGUGCUCUACUUAGGUAAAAUAAAUCUUUUUUUCACACCAAAGAAAAUUAUAUACCAGUCACUGAUAUCUGAUAUCUCUCACCUUCUCAGCAUGGCCAAGAGAUACGCAUUCAAAAUCUUUUCCUGUCAUGACCUAAAAGAGAAAGAAAGGAACACAUUGUUUUGUAAAUCACAUAAUAAUCAUGCAAAGCAAGGUGGAGCAUUUAUCAAAUGAACCAACCUUCCCAUACGUGAAUUUGGCAAUGUCCCGAAGGCUAGCCUUCCUACUUUCUCCAAAUCCAGGAGGUUUUAUGACACAAGCCUUCAAGCAAUUCAGAACCCACAAAAAAUGAGAAGACAUAUGAAACUUCACUUUGUAAAAUUAAAUGAAUAAUUGAAUGAUAGAAGAUUCUUCAAGUAGGCCAUCUCUUAACAGCAAAACACUGUCAAGUAUAAGUUCACCUUGGUUGCUGUAGCCACUCCAUUUAAGACAAGACUUGCUAGGAGAUCAUUUUCAAUAUCUUCAGCAAUGAUCAGUACAUCUGUGCCAUUAUAUCUUCUAACUGGUCCAAUCUCUGUCAAUAAGUCAAAGAAGACGCAGUUCGAAACCUUUUUCUCAAGGAUCAUGAUAUAAGGAUCUCGUAAAACCUAGUAAAAAUGAAAUCACUAGUUGAUUAAUAACAAGGCUGAUCCAAAGUUAUAUCUUCAAGGUAAGAACUAAGCAAUCUCAAUUACUUCAUUGUCAAUAUAUCUAUCCUUUAUAGAAUCACAAAUUUCUCAUAAAACGUCAAUUAAUUUAUUGAUAUCUCAAAAUGCUUACACAUUCUUUCGUCUUAUGAUUGGUGAUGAAGUAAGGUGACAAAUAGCCCCUGUCUAGGGUCAUUCCCCAAUACAACUGAAGUUCAAUACUGGGUGGUGUUUUCCGAUCCUGCAAUAGUAGUGAGGCAGUAGAAAAUAAACAUAAAACAGUAGAGGAAACAAAAUGGAAGGUUCUGAAACAUAACAACCGAAUCAGAGGCACAGCAGAUAAGAAAAAAGUAAAGACGAUAAAAAAUUCAAGAAGCAACUUACAGCUAACACAUGAAGAUUGUUUCCCCAACCUUUCUCAAAAGCCUUGGCUAUGAGCUCGCCAAUCACUCUGUCACCAUUUGCUGCAGCCGUUCCAAACUUCAAUUUAAAAUGGGAAAAAAAGCGCGUCAAAAUGAAAUAUAUUUCUGUGGAUUAUCAUUAAAUUGAGCAAGAGUCUAAAGUGAGAAAGAAAACCAGGGCUAUUUGUUCGAAUGAUGUGAUGGGUUGUGCUGUGCUGUAUAAAUUUCCCACAAGUGCAUCAAUUGCCAUUCUAGCCCCUUGUCUUUGGUCUGGCACUUCCGCAUCCUCCCGCAUAUAAAAUUCUCCCUUUUAACUUUAGAAUUGGUGCCUGCAGACAGAAGAUAGAUGUCAAUUGAAUUUGAUCAGAUGAUCUGUAUCCAUUAAUUAACUCCAUUCCCAUUCACAGCAAAUCUAAUUUCUUAAUUAAGAAAAUCCAGAAGAUGUUUCACAAUCCAAAAAUCUUUUAGUGACUUCCGCCGCGGUAUACUGUCUGCUCCGAGUUAAAUGAACCUGACACAGAAUUAAAUUCAACGAAAUUAACUCAACGAAAUUAAUCAAUUGAACUGAAUAAGCCAAGCCAGAAUUAGUUAUUAUUAUUUGAAAAAAGGAAACAAAAAACACUAAUAAAUGAAUGAAUGAAUCAUCACCGGCUGAAAAUUGUUAUCAAGCAACCUACAAAAUCAAAUUAACUAACAUAAACAAAAUGAGAGAAGUGGAAGGAAAACAAAGUAAACAAAAUAAAAAUUUGGUAAACUGUGAAGGAGAAGUGCACCUGACUUUGGAGGCGAGGUUAGAGGCAUGGCGCAACAUCGUUUGUGAUUUUGUUGCGCAGAAAGGACAGAGGAAUUCGAUUGACCAAAACAGAACAGAGACUUAAUGAGACUUAAAAGGCAGUUUUGUUUGGUUGGGUGGGUUUUGUGGGUCCCUUGUGGUGGGAUUGAGUCGGUUAGAAGGUGCGUAUUUAAUGAAUUUUCUAGUUGGACACUCGGACUCGGACUCGGACUCGGACUCGGGGUCUUUCACUUUACUAAUCAAAUAUACCUGAAUGAGAUUGAAAUGAGGAAAUCUUAGUGCCUGCUCGCUCUUUCAAUUCGUCUUUCAAAUUCUCUUUAUUCAGAACCAUUUUAUAUAUUAAACUUAGGACACUUUCCACAUAUAUUCGUAAACAGCUCGAGAUUGCUCAGUUACAUGAAAUAUUCUAUUCAUUUACUCUUUUAUUUUAUUUAUUUAGUGUUUAUUUGGUAUGGCUUAUGUAAUGUUCAUAAGUGCUUAUUUAAUUCCAUAAGCUCUUAUCAUAAUUUUUGUUUUUAUUUGGUUAUUUUUUUUAUAGAAUUUUUAGAGUUUAAAUAAGCUAUUUUGCCUCUACUAACGAAAUCUCAAAUUUUGAGCUUUUGAGAGUAGAGGUUGAAAAGUUUUUUUUAAAAUAUUAAAAUAUCUAAAAUAUUCUCUACUUAUUUGACAUUAUUUUCAUAACAUAACUUAAAAAAACUUGCCUAUUAAAGUAAUUUUAUAAAUUUUUAAUAAAAGCUCUUAUUGACAACCAAACAUCUAAAUUUUUUUAAGUAAAAGCUCUAUUUGUAAAAGCUCUACUAUCAAAAUCUCUACUUGAAAAGUUGUAUCAAACGGAGCCUUAAUACAACUAUCUUUACAUGUAUAGCUUGUGGUUGUUAUUUUAAUUAAAGUACUGUGGAUAGAAAUGAUUAUAAUGGAUUGCUUUGAUAUCUGAGUUGGGAUGUCUUAUCUUGUUUUGAUUUGUAUUGACAUUGUUUGAAUUUGUGUUUUAAUAUGGUUAAUACCACUAAUUUUUAUUUUCUUUCUUUUAAUUUACUUAUUGAUAUCAUGUUUGUGAAAGUUUAUUGUUAAAGUUUACGUUCUCAUUUAUUGAGAAAUAAUGAUUUUUGUAAUUAAAUUUUAUUUUAAUUUUCUAAUAUUCUUUAAUUUAAGGAUAAAGUUAUUGUAAAAUCUAUUAUUUAUAAUUUUUUAUCCACUAUAUUUUUUCAUAUUUUAAUAGUAAUGUAAUAAUUAAUAAAAUUAAUAAUUAUUAUAAUUUUGAUAUAAUUAAAUUUAUCAAAGUAAAAAAUAUUUUGAUUAUAAAAUUCAAACAAAACCCAAAUGAAUUAUUUAGGCUCGGUUAAAAAUAUUUGGGUUGGUUUAGGUCAGGCCCAAAUUUUUAUAAUUUAGUUCGGAUUGUUUUAAAAUCUAACCCAAACCAACUCAUGCCCACCCCUAACUGAUUCCACAUUUGAGUCCAAAGUUCAAUCAAAGUUUGAUCCCUAUUUAGACCAAAAUAGACUACAUGGACAGUCAGAUCCAACGGGACCAGUCCAAUGUGGUUCUCAAAAUUAGAUAUCAAAUUAAGUAAAUAACACUAAGCGCCCAUCUAUUUUGUCUAAACAUUACACCAUGCAUACAUUAGUAUUAAAAUCUAAUGAAAAAGAAAUCACGAUCAACCAUUUGUUUUGGUUUUAGUUUAACAGGCUUAGAUUAUCAUUUUAGUCUCGCUACAUUUCGAGAAUGUAUUAUAAUCACGUAAAUUUAAAUCCCGAAUAUAGUUGGCUUAACCAUUGCAAUGGAAGCAAGAAGUCACGAGUGCAAUUCUAAGGGUAUACAUUUAAUUUGAUGAUGAGGAGGGGUAAGAGUGAAAUGUAACUUAAAAACUCUCGAUGAAACUUCUGAAUAUUACAUAAAUAUAUUGUAAUAUGAGCUUAUAAAAUCUGAACGUCUGUACUUUAAAAGGAUGUGUGCAUUCUUAUAAGAGGACUACUUUCUGAAGAUGCAACAAUUAUUUUCACAUCUCAUUGUCGUUAAAGCUGACUUGAAAACUCAUGAAUUAUUCCUUCUAAAAAAAUAAAUGAAUGAAUUGCUAGUUAAACAACUUUUGAGCUUAUAAUUUUCAAGUACUGCUUUUUUCUUUUUUGGUCUUUCACCCUUUAAAAAAAAAAUUAGUAUUUCAUUCAUCUCCUUCCCACAAGAUUAAAAUCAGAGCUUAGAGAAAAAUCAUGUAUUUUUGCCAACUUAAAUUUGAGCGCGCAUUAAAGACGCUAGCUAAAACGUGCACAACCAUGGAUGUUGUUGCCAUGUGAAUUCAAUGACUGUAGUAGCGCAAUUGUGUAGUGGCUGAUUGAAGGUUUUCGUAUUGAGGUUUGUUUAGGUCAUUAGUGAUAUUCAUCUGCUGAUGGAACGAAUGAGUGCUUUUUGAGUUCAACCUGUCUCUUGAAAUUGCAAAGUAUCAACUCAAAAGCUAGCAGAAUUUGCAAAAGUCGUCUAGUCGGUGGUGGAAUUAAGAUUUUAAUUUAGGGGUUGCGAAAAUAUGAAGAAAAUUGAGAGUUGCCUUGAAACAUAUAUUGGGGAUCAUUUUGAAAACUUUUUAGUUUUCACAUUAUUUUUUAAAAAUAAAUUUUGAAACCUUGGCAACCCUUGCUAGGCGUGAAUGUAGUUCCGCCUCGACGACUAGUGUUGUAGUUCGGCUGGAAAAUGUUUUAGUAGAACUUUAUACUCUUUUGUCAUGAGAUUAAUGCAAUUUUUAUGCUCAAUAAAAAAAUAAAAAUAUGCUUUAUGAAAACUAUUUAAAAUUUUUCUCCAUUUAACUGGCUCUAGGGAUGGCAAUUGUGUCUACAAACCCGCCCAAAUCCACCCGCCAAAACCCGUCUGCUUCGGAUAAUUUUGUGGGUUGCGGGUGGGUUUGGUAUUACAAAUUGAAACCCGCAUUUGGAUGCGGGUGGAUUUGGUAUUAGCCCAAUAUCCAGCGAAUACCCACAUGGAUAUCCGCUAGACUCGCAAUAUUUUUUAAAUAUUUUUAAUUGAAAAAUAUUUAAAUAUUUAAUAUAUAAAGAAAAUAAUGCAAUUAUGCAAAGCGCCAAAUAACCAAAGUAUAAACAAGUUUAGUGUGUAUAACAAUGCAAAGUGCCAAAUAACCAAAAUGUUUUUGUAUGGACUAUUUUUCUUUAACUUAAUGCAUGAAUUAGUUCAUUAUAUAAGUUUUUUCGGAUUAGUAUUUGAAAAAUAUUAUUUUUUGGAAAAUAUUAAUCUUAAUCAUUAUUGUAGGCAUCAUGUUGGAUGGUUGCUAAUGAUGGUGAAUGAAAUGAACAUCUUUCUUGGAGCUUGUGUUGAAUGAUAAUAUGAGAUGUAAUUGUUAUUUUUAGAUAUUAGUUUGUCGUUUUUUUUAAUGGAUUUGUGUAUUUUAUACUUAAAAUUUAAAAUUUUGUGUUGGAUUGAUGUUGAAAUUUUAAUUUUUCAUUUAUAUUAGUUAAAUUUAAAAUUGAAUAUGUUAUGUGGAAUUUGAGGUUAUUAUUGUAAAUUUAUAUAUUCAACAUUUGUGAUUUUAAAUAUAAAAAUUCCCCAAAAAAUCCGCCGGAUACCAAUGCGGGUUUGGUAAUUGUCAAAAUCCUUAGCGGGUGGGUUUUCUUAAAAAAAUUAAAACCCGCUAUGGGUUGCAGGUGGGUUUGGUAAUUUAAAUUUUGUGUGGGUUUGGCUUUGAUAAUGACAAACCCGCCGCGGGCGGUGCCAAUUGCCAUCCCUAACCGGCUCUAACAUAUUUUUUAAUAUUCUUGAUACCUUGCAUCGUCGUUCUAUGUUUUCUUGAAUGGUUUUCCUAUUAACGAUUCAACAUCAUUUUUCAGUCCUAGCCAAGUCUAAAAAAAUAAGAGUGGUAAUAGACUCCUAUUAUCUCAAAGUUUAUUCUAAAUAACAUGUCAUUCAUUAAAUUUCAUAAUUUCUUAUCAAAUUUAAGUAAAUUAAUUGUAAUAUCUCACCAAUCAAUUUGAUGAAUGUCAUAUCAUUUAUGAUAAAAAUUUUGAGAUGUGUAACACUACUCAAUAAAUAAAUUUGGUGUUCUUCAACUAUUAAUAAUUGUAGUUAUAACAAUUUUGUGCAAAUACCAACACUAACCCUACUCAUUAUUGCUGAAACUCGAGUGAUUACACACAAACCACAACUUAUUCAAUUUAAUUAAUAAGAAAACUACUUAAAUAUUCAAAAUUAAGAGUGAAAGCGAGUGACAUUGAGCAAGAAGUUGCCGUUAUUAAUGAGACUGAUUGACAAUUUUCAUCCUUCGGAAUUUUAUUGAUAACGUUACCAUAAAUUUUAGAAGUUGAUAAUUAAAGUUAUUACAAUUAAAUAAUUACAACUACUUCAUGUCUUAAUGAUUAAUGAGUUUGUACUUUUAUGCAAAGUCUCCUUUAUGCAACUCACCAUCGGGUGAAUCACGAAUGCGUUCCAAUUUGGUGGCGUGCUUGAUUAAUUUGUCCUUUAAUACAUGCCCAAAAGCUGUGUAUGCAGCUAGCUUUUACAAUUUCUAUCUUCUUCGUUCUUUAAUUUUAUUUCGUAGGAACUGCGUCUUGUACUUCAGUAAGAACAACUUCUUUAAUUUAAUUUAAAAAUAAAACUAUUUGAGUAUUUUCUUUUUUUCACAAAAAAAAAAGAAAAAAAUUUCAAUCAUCGGAGAGGCAACCCAAACAUCGUCUAUUUAGUCGCUAGUCAAUAAGUUAACCAAGGGCGGACCCAAAGCUUUAUAUUAUCUUGGGCUAAAUUAAAAAUUAAUAUUUUAUUAUGACCAUAAAAUUUCAUAAGUAGAAAGAAGUAUAUUAAAUAAAAUGGGACAUAAAGUACCUUAUUCUAUGAAUACAUACUCUAAAAAAUUAAUUAUAAAAAAUAAUUGAAAAUAAAGAUAAUUCAAAUAUAAAAGUAUUAUUCUUUAAUUAUGAAAUCUAACAUUGCAACCUAGGAUAACAUGUAAUUUUAUUUUUUUUUUAAUGAAGGAUAAGAUGUAAUUAAUCUAACUUUAGAUGGGAUUCUGUUGUUUGCACGGCAAGAGCAAAUCCAGGCCGAUCUAAUAAAGUGGUAGAACAUGCUGGUGAUGAUCAAGCCAAUUGUGUAGUGGCUCAUGAACUUAUUAAUUGUGUCUCUAGCUCUCGUACUGAGGUUUUUUGGGUCAUUAGUGAUAUUUAUGGGCUGAUGGAAUGAAUAGAGAUGUUCCUUGAGUUCACAAUGUCUCUUGAAUCCGCUCACAUGCUAGCAAAAAUUUAAAAUUGACCCAAGUCUUCUAAUCAGUGGCAGAACCAGGAUUUUAAUUGGAUGUUGAAAAAAAAAAAAUUAGCAUAGAUGUUUUAUGUCGUGAUUCAACCUCAAACAAAUACAAGUGCAAUAAAUAAUUUUUUUCUUUUAUAUUUUUGAAAAAAAAACAUGAUCAGAUGCAUGAUUAUCUACCUAAUUCAAGGAGCACAAAUACAUGUACAAUGAAGAUUUUUUUCUUUUAUAUUUAAAAAAAAAACAUGAUCAAAUACAUGAUUAUCUAUCUAAUUUAAGGAGCACAAAUCAAAACAAGCAUAAUCGUUUGGCAAAAAGAAAAUUUGUUGGUUAAUUAAAAUAAAAUCCUCAAUGAGUCUCAAAAUUGCCAAGAAUCUUUUGAGAGAAUGUAAAGCUCUUAAGAAAAAUAUUAUAGCUGUUGAUCCUGGAUCUAAGUAUAUCGGCCUUGCACUAGCCAACUUCGAGCAAAAUUAUGUGGAAAUGACACCAUUGGGGUAUAAUUGCUUUUCACAUUAUAGUAAAUACUAGUUAGAGAUAAAAUAUAAAUUAAUUAUUUGUGUAACACUAUUUUUUUUCAAUGUCGCAGACAUAUAACACAAACUACAAAAGCACAGGAUCUGGAGCAACUCAGAAAACGUGUAAGUUUAUAAUAUUAUAACUAUGAAUAAGUAGUAAAAGUGAUAUUCAAAAUAAAUAAACAAUAAUUUAACAUCUAUAUAAGGUCCAACUAUUUUGUAAUCCACGUUAGGUACCCCUUGUUUUUCAUUUAGUGAUAUAACCAUUAGACCAAACCAAAUAGUUGCAUAACGGUUUAGAUGCAUGUGUUUGCAUGGUUACUAACAUUGCCAUCCCUGAUGUUUGCUGAAAAAUCAAAAGAGUCAAAGGUUUCUAAAUCUUAACAUGUAUGUCCAGAUUGUUUCAAAAAUUUUUACACUUGAAUCCAUCGACCUAAUUUCACUAUUAGAAUGAGUGACAUUGUAUGUGCAGUAAUGUAAUCUCACGUACAAAUUCCAAAAUGCAUGAAAAAUUAACAUGAUUUAAUAACAAAAAUUUUAUAACAUAAUAUCUCUUUAAUAUAAAAUAAAUUAUUUGAAUAUGUCAAUAAAAAAAUAAUAUGUGACAAAAAUAUAUUAAUUUGUCAAUAAUAACAAACUAUGACCAAAGUGACUGUGUAGAUGCGUAAAUUAAAUGUUUUCAAUGAUAUUAUUAAUGAACAUGUCCCAUACUUCUUAAAUUAUAUGUAAUUAAAUUUUAUUAUUUGCAUAUUAAUAUCUUCAUCUAAAUGGAAACCGAACUUCGUCCCUUUGCUUUCUUUAUUCCUAAAUAACAAUUUAGCACUCCUGAACUUCAUCCUCCAUUUUUUUUUUAAUUUCUACUUGUCAUAAACUCAAACCUAAUAAAAUAAUUUUGGUUGAAACCAUCAUAUUUCAGAAACAGAUUUUUUUUCAUCAACAAUAAUCCUAACAUAGGUCCUUUGGUCUAAUUAGUGGUUUGAUUUGAAAAUGUUGUUAUUUUUUCAUAGAUGCUCCAAAUAUAAGAUUUAUAGCUCUUAAAAUUUUGUUAUUUAUAAACUUGUCAUUCAUAUUCCCUAGAAAUUCUUGAACUACACCUUUCCUAAGGAUUUUUCUUUUUUAGUUUAUACGAAUGGUUAUUUUUGUGCAAGAUGAAAGAUAGCAUGGAUAAAGAAUAAAUAGUUGUAAAUUACAGAGAUUUAUUCUUCGUCCAUAAAAUAAUUUAAUGAAUGAGUAUUUUUUAAUAUAAAUUAUUUAAUUAAAAGGUGGUACAAAGAAUAUUUUUAUGGUUUAAAUAUCCUCAACCUUCAGUUGUUUCUUUGUAAGGGUAAAAAUGACAAUUCCACAUUCUAUUAGAAUUUUCAUAAUGAUCAAUAAUGGACAAUGAUAUCAACAUAAAAAAUUAAAAUGAGCAGGACUUGAGUGUUAAAAUUUAGAAAUACUAUUUGGUUAAUUUAAUUUUAAAAAGAAACAUGAAUUGUAGCUCAAUUUGUUAAAAAAAAAAAUUACAAAGAAUAUAUUAAGCAAAUAAAUUUAUGGAUUGUAUUUCUCUAACGACUUUUAUAUGCAGAUAAAUGAUCAUAAUGUUGGUGGUCUGAUCAUUGGCGACCCGAUAGUUGGGGAGUACGAUGAGACCGGCGAAGGCUUGCGAAGGGUUAGUCUUAAAAAAAUUUAAUUUAGUUAUUAGUCUUUAAAAAUUUUAAUUUAGUUAACUCAUUUUUUAAAGCAUAUAUUCAUUUCAUUUUUUUCUUUGUUUUUUCAUUUUAUUAGGCCAAGCAUACCAAAACGUUCAUGAAAGAUUUUGAUAAAUAUAUCACCACAAGCUAUUGCUACCAGAACGAGACAAACUCUAGUGAAAGUUCUACGAGGACAUUGAAAGAAUUUGAGGUAGCUUGUCAAAAGCCCUUCUUAGAUGAAGUUUCGGCAAUGAGCAUAAUGGCACAAUGCUUCUGUGAUAAUUGUGGUGAGGUUUCUGAUAAUGUUGCCCUUGUGAGAGGACGGAGCAUUCAUUUUGGUAGUAAUGAAGAUUAAGAUAAAUAUUAUUAAAGGGAUUGAUGAUGUUUGUGGGUAUCGUCGCUACAAACCCUCACGAGACUAAACUCGUCCACUAGGGCUGCCUAGGGGUUUAAAGGCUUGUUGCAUACGCUAAAUGCAACCGUGAUUACCUGCGAAAGUGGUGUAAUAGGAUUUAAUUUAUUUCGUUUUUUACUUUUAAUUGAAAAACUUUGUAUUUGAAUUCACUAGUAUUCAAUUACUUACACUGAUAAAAUUAUUUAUUUUAACCAUCUCCCAAUACUAUAAUACCUGAGAUGAAAUUUUCUUAGAAAAUUAUUCAUGAUGCCAAAACAAGCCCUUCAAAGAACUAACAAGAUUAGAUUUGGUCACAAGGGCAAAUGGAUCUGGAAUUAGGAAAAAAUUCGACGCCAAAUAUUCCAAAUACAACAUAACUUAAAUUUACCAUAAAUUCUUCAUCUUGGCCCAUGUGUUGCAGCAGAACAAUCGUCGAAUAGUUUAGCUUAAAACCAUCGUAUGGGUGUUAAAACGACUAGUCGUUUAUCGUCCUCAACUUUUUCAUGCAUGCAUUGAUCCCUACUAAGCAGAGAAAACUAUAUCUGUCAUGCAUUAUUGCUUUAAUCAAUUCUUAGAGGAAUCAGAGAAAAUUAAGGCAUAAUCUGGAUGAAGGAAACCCUAUGGCUAAAGCAAGGGCCAUAUUUGUCGGCUUUACUUGGUACAGAGAUUGUUCCGUGAAUGUUGCUCUAAUUGUUGCUGUGAAAUUUACAUUAAGAAUAAAAAAAGGAAAAUCAUAUUUCUCAUUUCUCAUUCAAUACUAUUUUCCACCCCUCGUCUUCUUUAUUUCUUAAUUCCCUUUUUUUUUUAUUCUUCGUCUUCUUCUUGAUCGUUCUUCUUUAUUGUUAAUUUCUUUCUUUUUUAAUUUUUUAGUUUCAUCUCACGUACACAAUGGAUCGAACUUAGGAACAAGAAUUCACAGAUAAUUCUUCACAUUGAAGACUUCCUUUUACUGUUUACUAAUAAUUCUUUGGAGACAAGAAAUAAUUAUGGCUGAUCAUGUUAGUCAUAGCCGGUAAUGAUUUGAUUGAUUUCACGGUUUAUCAAUUGCUAAAAUUCAUACGCACCAAAUAGUGAGAUGUGCACGGACUAUACCUUUCAAGUCUAUUAUAACCGCAAGAUUUCUUCUACACACACGUUAAUCCUACAUAUACAACUUAUUAUCCCGUUAACAGUGCGUUCAUCCAUUUAUCACUUUGUAACGUCAGUUGGCAUCCACAAGCAAACAUCUUCUGAUAAUCUAAUCAGACAAUUCCAAGAGUUACUAUUUCAUAAAAGAGUAGGAUUAUUUAUGCUGUAAAAAUUACCUUGAUCGCUUCAUUAUUCUAUACACUAAUAUAUUAAUUUUAAAUAAUUAAGUUUUAGUCUUUUCAAAAAACAAAAAAAAAUAAUUAAGUUUUAAUGAGUACAUUUUAAAUCCACCGGAUUAGUUUCAAAAUUCCUUUACUCAUUAAAACCAUUGUUAAAAUUUAAAAGUUUAUAUUAUACUUUAUAAAUCCAUCUUAAUACCUAAUAUACCUUUGAAACUAAUUCAUGAUUUUCUGCAACUUUUUUCUUCCAUUCUUCUUCUUCUCCUUCUUCUUCUUCUAUCUAUCCAACCCGUAACCUGUUCAUACCCAAAAACCAAAUCCCUCAACUUAUUAAGUGGAAUUAAUUUUUUUGCCCAUUAUUGUCAUUAAACCGCUAUAAAAUAUAUAUAAUAUCAUGAAAAAAUAAAGUAAUAAUAAAAUUAUAGUUGUAAUCAAUAAUCAAUUAAACUACUAAACUAAAGCGCACAAUAUUUUUCAAUGGCAUGGCUUUCCUCUUUCUUAUAUAGUUCGAAUUCAAUGAAAUAGAUUUGAUUGUUUGAAUCUAGAAUAGCUUGACUAGUGAUAUAGUUUUCACCAAAUCCAAUAUUUAACAACUCAGUUUGAUCUGUUUUCAACUAGAGGAGUUGAAGAAAAAUUAAUAACUAUGAAACAAUUUUUUUUUCUGUAUACAUUAAGCAAAUUUAGAGAUGACUUCAAGAUGAAAUACGCAUUAUUAAGUCCAUAACAGUAUCUUAUGUUAGAGACAAUUUAAUAAUAAAUUUUUUUAAUACUGAGUCAAAUGAGAAUUUGGGUUCAAAUAAUCCUUCAUUAAGUUUUAUUUUGUACAUUAUUUAUGAUUUUAAAAAAACCUUACUUAAACUAUUUCAAUUUUUAUGUAAUAUGAUGUUAGAAGUAAAAAUUUCAAGAUUCAAAGAAAUUAUAUAAUAUUAACUUAUGACAAAUUAUCUUUAAUAGUUAUUUGCAUGAUGAGUAAUUUUGCAUUAAAAUGUUUUAUAUAAAAUUAAAGCAAUGGCGGACUCAAACAAUUAAAUUAUUGGGGGCUUAGAUAAAAAGGUUAUAAUUUAAUUUGGGGCGGUUAAUUAUUUUUUUACUGUUCACUUAAACGUGUUGAACGUCUCAAAAACUUAAAUUCUAUUAUUUUCUUUUAAAUUUAAAAAAAAUCAGGACAAUAAUUAUUAAUUUUAAAUGUUGGAACUCUUGUGGCACUACUGGAAAAAUGAGAAACAAUGAUACUGAGUUUCUGAUACUAAAUAAAAAAGUAUCAACAUUUGAUGACCUAAGCGGAUUUUCACGUCUUUUAUAUAUAAGUGUCGGUGAUCAUUGAUACUAUAGUAUCAUAACCAAACAUUGAUGCUAAUUGGAGAAGUAAUUUUAAUUUUAUUUUAAUUUUUUCAAUUUUCCUAAAUCUAAACGGCAUCGUUCUAAUUGCUAAAAAGUUAUCGAUAUAAAUUAAACACCUUGAAAUUAGCUUCUUCUUUUCCUCUCCUUCCAAAAUCGAUUCCCCCCUCUCUUUCUACUGAAACCCUAAAUCUAAAAUCAGGGCCAAGGAAAUAUUGAUUCAAGAAACGGGGCCGAGAGUGAGCCAGCUCUCGUACGGAGCGUGAGUCAGCUUCGGGAACCAGCUGGACGUGACGGAGGCGAAGUCGCUCUUGCAGUGCUCCCGCGACCACGGCAUCAACUUCUUCGACAAUGCCGAGGUCUACGCCAACGGCCGCGCGGAAGAGAUCAUGGGCCAGGCCAUUCGCGAGCUCGGGUGGAAGCGAUCCGACAUCGUCGUUUCCACCAAGAUCUUUUGGGGCGGCCAGGGCCCCAACGAUAAAGGCCUCUCCAGAAAACACAUCGUCAAGGGCACCAAAGCUUCCUUGAAACGCCUCGACAUGGACUACGUCGACGUUAUUUAUUGUCACAGGCCAGACACGUAGACACCGAUAGAGGAGACGGUGAGGGCGAUGAAUUAUAUUUACUUGAAAAAGAAAACGAUUAUUGUUCUUGGUAUUGGACUAGUGAAGGUGGUGAAUUUAAAAAAAAAAAUAUUGAUUCAAGAAACUCACAUCACCCGAUCCGCUUCACUUCAUCAAUUCUCUCCCCCCUCCCUCUCUUCACUUCAUCAAUUCUCUCCCCCCUCCCUCUCUUGCUCUCUCCCCCCUCUCUCUCUGCGUUUGAUUUAUGAAUGGCUUGAUUCCGAGUUGCAGGACGGUCAAUUUGAUCUGCGGUUUUUAUGACUGAAGUUUUUACUUGUUUGCUAAUAUUUAUAAUUCGUCCAUCCCGUUAUACUUGAAAGUUGGUGAUUCUAUUAAAUUUUAUAUCCAACCGGUAUCUUUUUAUUUAAAUCGGUAGGCCAGAAGCAAAUCAAUCUUUUUAUGCAUUGGCUGUAUUAGUAAAUCACAUGGAUAAAAUCACAGGGUUUAUAUUGUUACUUAUUUCUUUUCUGUUGGCAGGAAAAUUCCAAGGGAUUUGACAGAGGCAUCACUAUCUGGUGCAGGAUAAUCCAUAAUAUCAGCCCUUUCUAUGUUGUUUUUAUUUGGAAUGGUAGGUUGCCGCUUGCAUAGUUGUGCCUGUUUUGUCAGAUAUCAUGGGUGCAUUUUGCAUAUAAAUGUUAAAAUAUUAUGGUAUUUAAUAUAUUAUUUAUUUGACAUUCAAAUUUAAUAAGGAUACAAAUGUAAAAAUACAUAUUUUCGGUUUUUUAAGUUGAAAAAAAAAACUUAAUAUUUAUUUUUUGAGAUUCAGACGAAAAAACAAAUAUAUUAUUCAGAUUCAGACAUUCAAAUCUAUUCAGAAUUCAGACUAAUUCAAAUCUAUUUAGAUUUCAGACAAAAAAACAAACGCCUCCUAAGUCUCUAAAACCACUAAAUUAACAGCACUCUCUCAACAAAAUUACAAGUAUUUAUCAUUUAGAAGUUGUUUUUAAAUUCUUUUUAUUUAGUUCUUUGAAAAAGAGUUUGGGGCAAAGCCCUCCUUAAAUUUUUGUUGGGUACGCCCAUAUUGUAUUAAUUUGUCAAUAAUAACAAUGUAUAUGCCUAAAUUAAAAUUUUUCAGUAAUAUUAUUCCUGAACAUGUCUCGUAAUUAUUAAAUUAUAUGUAAUUAAAUAUUUUUUAUUUUAAUAUUAAUAUCUUCAUCUAAACUGAAAUUGAACUUCAUCUCUCUACUUUCUUUGUUCCUAAUUAUCAGUUUAGCGCCCAUGAACUUCGUCCUUCAUUUUUUUUUAAUUUCUUCUUCAUAAACUUGAACCUAAUAAAAUCAUUUUAAUUGAAACCAUCAUAUUUCAAAAAUAAUUUUUUUUCAUUAACAAUAAUCCUAUCAUUAAUUCUUUGGACUAAGUAGUGGUGUAAUUUGAAAAUAGGAUUUCUCUAUGAUGCUGUAUGGAUUUUUAUAGUGUUGAUAGUGGGAUUAAUGUGGACCCUUAGAUGUAAAAGUUUUAAGUUGAAUCAUUCAUUUAAUAUAAUACAUAAUUAGAUAAUUAAUUAAAAUAUAACAGGUAACUUAUAGGUUGCGGGUAAACAUUAAUUUGUUAAUUUUAAAUUAAUAUCAAUUUAGAAAAAAGUCACUCACCCCCCUAAGGUUUGCUUAAAUAAUCAUACAGAUCCCUUUAGUUUCAUAAAUGGUCACACAGACCUUCUUAGUUUCAUAAAUGACUAUUAUACCUUUUGAUUAAAAUAAUCUUUUUUUAAUGAUGGAUUAAAAUAAUCUAAAUAAAUAUAAAUAUAGUAAUAAGAGAAAAAUAAUAAAUAAAUAUCAUAUGAUACAAAUAAAAUGUUAUAAUAAGUAUAGUUGAUAAUAUAACGUGUACAAUGAAAAUUUUGCUAAUAUUAAGUUAUUAUUAGUCUAUCUUGACAGAUUAACUAAAAUCUAUUAAUUAAAAAAUUGAUUUUAAGAUUGAUAUUAAUGUAGACAUAAUUGUAAAAAAUAAUAUAAAUUUUAUAAAUCAUUGUGAAAUUAUUGUGAAUGAUAGGUAUAAUUAUUUAAUUUUAGUAGUAUGUCAAAUAGAUUUUAAUAUUAGUAAAAAGAAUAUGAAAAAUAAAUAAUGUUAAAAAAAUUUUGUUGAUAUUGAAAAUAUUUUACACUUAUUUAACAUAUUAUAUUUUUUUAAUUUAAGGAGUUAUGUAUGACCAUUUAAGUAAAAUUUAGAGGUGUGGGUAGUCGCUUCCCUAUUAAUUUUAUAGCCUAUUUAAAGUGCUAUACCAUUCUAUAUCAUACAUCACACUUAAGAUGUUGAUUUUAUUGAAGUGUUAUGUUAUUAAAAAUUAAAGGGAAAUUAUCAUUCGUAUACCCUAUAGAUGCUCUGUUAUCAAAAAUACUACAACACUUUGAGGGUGUAUCAAUCGUCCACCCUAAGUUGAUAAAAUGUAUAUGCCGUCCACCAAAUCGUUACUUGUCGUUUAAAUAGGAUAACGCCAGAGGGGUAAUUUGGUCUUUUUAUAUGAUACAAGUGAUAAUUUAAGGGUAACAAAUGAUAAUAAAAGAAUUUAAGGAUGUACAAGUGAUACUUUUUAAGGGUAAAAUCGUCAAUUCGCUAUAAUUCUGUUAACUUUCAAACAACAGCUAACGGUUUGGUGGUCGACAGAUAGCUUUUGUCAAUUUAGGGUGGACGAUUGAUACACCCUCAAAGUGUUGUAGUAUUUUUUAUAACAUAGCAUCUAUAGGGUAUACGAAUGAUAAUAUCCCAAAAUUAAACUUUGCAUUUAUAAUGUACUACAACUUUAAUGUAAAAUGUAAUAAAAAAUAUAAAGACAUUUUUUAGUAGUCAAUUUUAGCUUUCUUUUACAAAAUAGUAUUAUAAAAGAAAAUUAGUAAAAUGUAAUAAAAAUGGCAUGAGUAAAGGUUAGUAGAGGUGAUUUUCCUUGUAGUUUUAAAACAUAUGAAGUAAUGGACACACACACAUAUUCAGUACUUCUAUUUACCCCUAUUUAUUAAUAAGUGGGAAAUUAAAGUCGUAAUUACCAUAAUGUAUUAUGAAUUGAUAUGUAAAAUAUAAAUACUAAUAAAAGCUAAUUUGUAGACUAAUAAAGUAAAUCAUAUUUUAUGGGCACUUGAUACAUUAAUCUAAGGUCAAAUGAGAUAUAUCACAUGAUAUUUCAAACUGUAGUCCAAUUUUCAACAUUUGCAUAUGGUUUUAUAACCUAGUAAACCAAUAAAAUAUACCAUGAGAAAUCAAAGGCUAUUGUAUAUAUUGCACCAUUGGAUAUAUAUAAAUAUAUAUAUAGACACACACAUAUAACUUCCGUUAAUCUUCCAUGGCCAUGCAUUAGAAUAAAAUAAUCUAACCGUACAGCUAUAUCUGAUUGAUAGAUUUUGAAAUUAGUUUGAUUACAUGAUAAUCGAAUUAUCUUAUAACAUUAAGGAUAUGAAUUAAGUAUCAUUUUAUCAAUUUUGAGUAUCGUAUUGAGUUUUCAAAUUAAUUAAAUGUUGAAACUCUUUCAUGUUUUGCCUGACAUUACUAUUUAAUAAAAUUACGAAAAGCCAAUAUGAAUUUUGUAGGAUACAUAGUAAAAUAAACUUUAAAAUGUGAUUAAGUAUUCCCAUGAAUUUUGUGUAAUUAAACAAAAUAUGUUAUUUUAGUGAAAUUGUUAGAAUAUUUAAAAUUGUUGGGGUGGUCACUAAAAUUUCUCGGACUUGAGCAAACUACACGAUCCCACACGAUUUAUUUUGAAAAAUACAACUUGUUAACCGCUGACUGUUGGUAGAAUAAGUUCCUAUAAACAAAAAACAAUUCAAACUCAUAUUUACAAGUAGCAAACAAUAUCUCAUCAAGGAACAAAUUUGAGUGGAGUUUUUGGUCAAUCAAUCUAAAUAAAUUUGAGUAGAGUUUUUUGUCAAUUAAUCAAGUUUUUGGGUUUUCAAAAAAUUUAUGUUCAAGGUAAAUAUGGGAGCUAUCAUUACAAGAAAGCUAUGGAUAUUGAUCAACAAAGUUAGUAUUGUAUAUGUUCUUUGUAAUUUGAUAUUUAGAACUGUUAUGAUUAUUUUGUUGUUGAGUAGAGAGAUGGUUAUGUGGAGAUUUCAGCUAUGUAACCAUGUAAUGACCAAUGCUUUAAAAUCAAACACUUGUUCGAUAAUUUGACAAACAAAAAAAAAUUAAAAAACAUGUAGAAAUGUAAGAAAAAUGAGCAUGUAAUGUCUGGCAGUCGUGCUUAUAGGGGAAAGAGGCUGAAACAAAGAACUAAUACAUUUUUUAAGUUGGUUGCUUCAGUGAUUCUGAGCAGUCAGCAUUCUUUAAGCCAUAUUUUCAUGUAGAAAACUUCAAAUAGAAAACCAUAAAAUUAUUUGAACUCCUGAGGAAUAAAUAUUUCUAGACAUGUAUAGUUUGUAAUUUUAUUCCUUAUUAAUUGAUAUCAGUUAAUGCAGAAACUUCGGGUCUUGUGUAGUUUCAAGAGAGUUAUGACCUUUGUGCACUAAAUCGUGAAUAUCUUUAAGAAGAGAAGUCCAAAUUUGAUUUUAUAAAUUUCGUCCAUAACUAGACACAUUUAUCUAUCAAAGAAUUUAUAUUAUGCAAUCUCAUAUAUUAUAGAUCAAUACAGUUAAAUAAUGAAAUUUGGCUUAUAAUCAUAGACUUGGUUGCUUCAGUGAUUUUGAGCAGUCAGCAUUCUUUAAGCCAUAUCUUCAUGUAGAAAUCUUCAAAUAGAUAACUAUAAAAUUAUUUGAACUCUUGAGGAAUAAUAUUUCUAGAAAUAAAUAGUUUGUAAUUUUAUUCCUUGUUAAUUGAUAUCAGUUAAUUCAGAAACUUCGGGUCUUGUGUAGUUUCAAGGCAGUUGUGGAAGAUUUGGUUCUCUUUCAGUUUCCUAUAUGCAAAUAGGUUUUUCAAUGAUAAAUUUUCACCACAUGCGUCUUCAAUAUUGUCCUUAAUCGCUGCGAUCUUCACCCCAAACUCAUCUCCCUUGCCCAUAAAAUUUUGACCACUUGAUUCAUUUUUACUAGUUUGAACAUCUUUACUAGAAGAGUUCAUCUUUUCCUUCCAUGGGUGUGAUUGCAUAUGAGUUAUAUUAUGUUCAAGUGCUUCAACUACACCAAUGCAUAAGUAUCUAAACUGUUCCUCUUCAGCUCACCAAGUUCAUACAUGACAGCGGCAAGAUUAAAAGUCAUCCCAUCAAUUUUUUCAUUAAGCUUUGUCAAUUCCUUCUCAUGGUUGCAAUUUUGAAAGUUUGCUUCACCCUCUCCGUUUGUUUUUAUGCUUUUAUGGAGCCCUCCAUCAUCUUUUCUUUCCAUCUGCAUUUUAAUGUUAAUAUUUAGUCAAUCGUGUGACAUCAAGUAUAUCUAUAAAAUAAUGAUACUAACAAAUAAAGUAUCAAUAAACAAAAAUGAAGAUUUUAACAUCUAUAUUUUCAUAUGGGGCUUGCCUUUAAUUUUUAGAAUUUAAAGACCGACAUUUAAAUUUCAAUUGUAAGAUAUUAGUAGUCAGCUGAAUUCCCUCCUCAAAGUAAUAUAAAUUCGUAAAGUGAAACGGAAAAAUCUCUUGGCGAUAUUAUACUCCAGCAGAUGCAAAGUAGACAACUAGACUGGCCAAAUUCUGAAUGUUGAGACUUUUAAAGAUUGAAUUUUCCCUUGUUGCCUUCAUUGAGAAAAUGACAGAGAAUUAAAAGAGAGAAAGUUCAUUCCCACCGCAUAAAGCCUAAGAGAGACAAAAUUAUUAAUCUAACUCUCGAAUCUUCAGGUCUUCACAAAAGAACAUAUAACAAACUUGAAAAAAAAAUAAUUGCCCCUUCAGAUCCAAAAAUUAUUUUGCUUCUAAUAUUGUUUUGCAUGCUUUAGCUGUAGUAAUUAGUUACUUUCCGUGUAAUCAACAAAACCCCAAAAAAACGACACUAGAAACUGUGGUUUUGAUCAUAUGUGAUAAAGUGAAUUGAACUUCCCAGCAAGGGCUUCAAUCUAAAAAGCAAGUAAGCCAUUCUUUGUGAUUAAUUAAUUACAACUUAAUUACUUAAUUAUUUCUCUUGCAUACGUAAUUAGUUGACUUUUUUUUGGCUGUAAUAAAUACCACGAAUUGUAAGAAUCAUUAACCUUCUUAUAGGCCUCAUAGAUGAUCGUAUAGAUAAUGCUAAUAAACUUUCUUCAAAUUAAGUUCAUUAAUUUCAUAUUUCUGUCCUAUAUUUAUGCUUCCAAAUGGAUAAUUUUCUUGAGAAUUUUCAACAUACUCAGUUAUUUCUUGUCCAGUGUUAUUCUAACAACUAAGAAAAAUAAGAAAAUCUUUUAAAUAAGAUAAAUGAAUUUGUCAAAACUAAUCUAUCAUCAAACAGAUACGUAUCCACUUGCCUAGUUGCCUUGCAGAUUAAUUAAUCCUGCAUUCUUUUUAGCACUGUAAUAGCAUAAUCACAUAAUCUACCACCAAAUAUGCUAUUUAUGCUUAAAGUUAAUAUCAAUUAACAACAAGGUUGUUAUGAUCACUCUCUAGUGACAAUAAAACACCAAAAAUGCAGGUGUCAUUAUAUAUCUAAAAAUAGACUAUAUAUCUAACAAUAAGCUAAUAGUAAACUCUUUCCUAAAUUAAAAAAGCUAGAAAGUUGAAUAAUUAAAUGGAUUCGCAACUGGCACAAAUAUGGAACUCUAAAUAUUUUGUUUAUCUAUACAUCAUGAAACUUGAAAAAAUCCAAACUAAAGUAAAAUUUCAACAUGGCCGACCAACUAACUUUUCAUUACCAAAACAUAUAUAAAAGAAAACAUCAUGAAAGAGUUUGCAAAGCCUCACAUGACAUUAAGAUUAUGUAUCUUAUUCUCAGUCACUACUAGAAAAAUGGGCUUUACUGACACCAAUUCAGUGUCAAUAAUAACUUUUACUGACACUUGUUAAUUGUGUCAGUAAUGCUCCAGCCAGAACACACUGACACUAAUUUUUGGUGUCAGUGAUUUUCGUGUCAGUAAUUCGUGUUACUCUAGUAUCACUAAAAUAAUGACACUAUGGCGUUAGUACUUAAUGAUACUAUUUACAUGUCAGUAAUUCAUGUCACUAUAGUAUCACUAAAAUAAUGAUACGAAGUGUAAACAUUUAAUGAUACUAUUUACAUAUCAAUAUUUAAAAUUGAGUCAGUAUUUAGUGAUGUUAUGCUGCUUUUGGUUAGUAAUAUAUUUUUAUUUUAAUUAUAUUUUUCCAAUUUGUUUUACAAUUAAAAAAAUAAAUAUAUUAAAUAUAUCAAAUCUCCCAACACAAUUCACAUAAUAAAUAUCCCAAAUACAUCACUUAAAUUAACAUAAUUCAACUACAUCAUUGUUUGGAAAAAAAAAAGAACAUAAGUAUCAAAUUAAGUUUUCGACAAGUUUUAAGCAACAAAGUACUAAAUUCAGUUUCAACGAACAUUAACCAACAAUAAUAAGCACAAGAAUGUACUGAAUAUCCAUACGUGGCUUCAUUUUUUUCCCCCACCUACAAGCAAAUAAAAUCAAUUAGAACACCACAAAAAAUAAGUCUUAGAGAUUUGGAAGCAAAAGUGGUCCUAAAUUACUCAUAUAUUACCUCGCGAUUGUAGGCUUUAAUUAACUUGGCAACAUAUGUAGCCUAUUGAUCACGAAGUUGCGAGAGCUCUUUCAUCGCGUACUCAUCAAUUCCCUUGAACUUUAAUUUCAAAACAAGAAGUUAUUCGCCAAAAGUUAAAUUGUAAACUUCUUAAUUAUCAUUCAUUUAAAUAUAUCCAUGUGAUAACAAUUCAAAACACUUUAUGCACUUGAAAUGAACUCCAAUAAUGUUACUCUUCUAUCCAAAAUUAUACAGGCAAACACUAAAUGUCUUGAAAACCAAGCUAAUAAGAAAAAAUUUUCAACAGUGUUGAUCUACAUUAUUAUAUAGUAAUGUUUGAAGCCGAAGCAACUUGUGAACAUCAACACUAACCACUUUAAUGCAAAUGUGGAUGUAGAUAUAAAACCUCAAUAGGUAUAUCUUCAUCAAAGUGAAGUAAAAGCAACAAUAUUGUAACAUGUUGCCACUAAUAACAACUUUGCAACAAACCCAUUAAAACGUAAGCGAGUGAUGAGCAGUAGAAAGUGGACAGGUAAAAGUAGAUAUUUAGAAGGUUUAUAAUUAAGCACUUAUAAUAGUAAUUUGAACAAAAUCCUAAAAUUGAAACAAAAGAAGCUUUGAAAGCAAAACAGAAAAUGAACAAGCAAGAAGGGCCCUAAUGGUUUUUUGUUAAGUCAAGCUAAUUCAUAAGUGAAGUAACUAAUAAAAAUUAAGACUUAAAAUAAAAUAAAAAGUCUUCAUAUUGUUUAAUCAUCAUAUAAAUUUUUUUUAAUGUUUAAAGUAUAUGUAUAGAGAGAGAACACUCAAUUUUACAACCUACUUAUGAAUUAAAAUUUAUCCACAAAAAAGCAAAAAAAACAAAGCUAAAGUUUUAAUUAAAAAUAUAGUGGUACUAUCUGUAAACUAUGCUGCCUGAGUGGAGUUAGAGACUGCAAAUACUAGUUUUACUAAUAAAGAUUACCUUCAGUUCCAUCUAAUUCUAUUAUUCUACUAAAACCAAUGCUACCAAAUACAAGCCAACCUUCAACUAUAAUCUUGUAAUGUGCCAUUUCACAUUAUAAAGUCUCUAAUUCUCUUAUUACAUGGCAAAAACUAUAACAAAAAUUAUGAAAUUACAAUGGUCCCAAUCAAGUUAUUUCUAAACAACUCAUUUUGCCAAUUGUAACUCGGCAUUAAACAAAAUAAAGAGCCCUAUAAAAAGACAAAAGGCCAAUCAAGGGCAUGUUAUUUUACUUUUAGUUUUCCUUUUUCCACAAUAUUUCAAAAGCUUAACGUCUCAUACAACUUUCUUUAAAUUUGUAGGAACUCAUAGAGGUGAUAAGAUGUUUAUGUGAAUUUACCCAGUGCAGCUUGAUGAUUCAUUUAUGUUCACAAUCAUACUUGGAUAUUCUGCAAUUGAUGAUCUGCACAUGAGGCCAUAGACAAGUUGUUGUUUGCUUCCACGUCCUCAGCAAUAAUACUUGGGUUAUGAACCUACAAAAGAUACAAACAAUCAAAUAUUUGAUAUCAGCUCUGAUGUAGCCAUAGUACUACAAAAACAAUCGUUAAUUACAUAAAAGAUUUCUAAAUCAAACAGAGGCACUCUAGCAUUAUAAAUAUAAAUUAUAAAAUAAAUCUUUUAAAGUCAUUUAACAACUGAAUUACUAAUUUACAAAUGCAUUUAAGUUAAUGGAAUCUCACAAUUUUUAUAUUUCCUUCUUCCACAACACUUCAAAAGUUUGUCGACUCAUGCAACUUGUAAUAAGACAAAAAGAAAGCAAACUAAAAAGUAAAAGAGAGACAAUUGAUGCAAAGUUGUAUUUCAACAUAUAAAAGAAUGUACAAAAGAGGGGUUAUAUAGUUGGUGAGCCCCUACAUUAAAUGAAUGCCUUGAUUCACAUAAUAGCCUAGGAUCAAGUAGCAUAUGGCUAGAAUUAGCCAAGGGACAACAAAUUAAUCCCUAGACUCGAGCAUAAUUGCCAUGCCGUCAUAUAUUCUAACACAAGUUUAUUUAAAUUUGUAGGAGGUAAUAGAGGUGAUGAGCUGCUUACAUGAAUUCCCCCAAUGCAGCUUGAUAUUUACAAUUAUAUUCACAAUCAUACCUGGGAAUUUCACAGUUGGUGAUCAGCAGCUGGGGCAAUAGGAGAGGCAAAGCCUGAUGAAUUGGAAACUCCCCCAGCAUAUAUAAUAUUAAAUGCAGCAACAAUUAUAGCAAAGACUAGUGAGAAAACAUAUGCAUCAAAGCUGUUUUUGACACCCAAUUCUGCCAGAAUAAAAUUAGCAAGUGUUGAUGCGAGAUUCCGGUACUCCUCGUUCUACGACCAGGAUCUCUGCUCGAUCAACUUCAUCACGACCAGGGGGUCUCCUCGCGGAGCUUCUUCUCCAGAGGUUCCUGCGCACACAGACAAGUCAGGGUACGCCGGUUGUUUUCUUGGCGCAAACCCUCCGACGCUCAAGUCAGAUAUGAAGGCUCGGGGAACGCUGACCACCAAUGUUAUCGCUGUUGAGUUGUUUUCUCCCUUUUUAGAAUCAAAAUUGCUUCUUGUUUUGAUCUAAAAAAUGCCAACCUUUUUACCUUCGUUGGUUACCUUUUUAUAGGCUUCCCCUGAAUUCCAGUCUUCCGCUUUUUUCUAGACAGCAUGGGGCUCUCACUGCUGCGUUAUGGGCAAACGCGGAAUCUUGCGUGUUACGCCACGGUUCUGGGGAAAGCGUGGCUGUCGUGGUUCCGUGAGAUCUUGCGUGUUACGCCACGGUUCUGGGGAAAGCGUGGCUGUCGUGGUUCUGUGAGAUCUUGCGUGUUACGCCACGGUUCUGGGAAAAGCGUGGCUGUCGUACUUAGAUUCUCGGGCUGGGGAGCCCGUCUUGCCCACUGUCGUCGACUGGGUCUCCUCGCCUCUCGACCUCUAGCCGGAAUGGCCUUAUGCCUCUUACAGGAAAUUGGCCUCGUGGAUGACGUGCUCGUGGGUGAGCAGGAUAUUUCUGUUCCUGUUCCCCCGCGCACCAGGUUUUUACGGGACAUACCGGUUCGCAGAACUCUGCCAUCAGAUAUCCGCUCACCAAGCCUGGUCUCGUCGACGUAUUUCUCCUAAACAGCAAGCGUAACAAUUAAUUGAACCACAGAGAAAGAAAUUUCCGCAGUCCUAACUAGUUGCAUCUGCCUAUGUACUCUAGUUGCAGUUCUGGUUCUUCCCAUGAUAUAAGUAUACAUACUCGUAGCAAAACCAAAUGCUGACAAUAGAAAUACAGCAAGAAGAAUUAUUCUCUUCAUUUUUCCCAGGGUAGAUUGCCAAUUUUCCAGUUACUGUUAUCUCCUACCAUUUUUGUAAUCUCUAAUAAUUCCCCUAACAACAUAAGUUUAUAAUAUUACACUUAUUUUCAAAUACACUUUUAUUCAUAUUUAUUAUAGAUUAAAUAAAUCACAUGAAUCAUUUGAUUUUUAUUGCCUAAUCGAAUUGAACCGAACUGCCAUAAUACAGCUCAAUUAGAUUCAGUUUGGAUUGAACCAAGUCAAAUGCUCACCCCAAUCAAGAACAUGUUAUUUUAAUGUUCGUUUUCAUUUCAACUUGGGAAGAACCAAAUAGAAAAAGGGAAACAACCAUUUGACUCUCCUCCCUAUUUGAAAUUUUAAUGGCGUGGGAUUCUCUUUGAAAUUUCCAUUGAAAACUAAAAUCAAACAUAAUUUUCAUACCCGACUUCAUAGCAAUCCAAAUCUAGUUGAAUUAAGUACACAUAGACAAAUGUCCCGGCUUCAGGUAUUUCUUCUAUUUUCUCGGUAUUGGUUAGUUGUAGAUAAUUUCCUUUCUCUCUGCUUUGCUCGAGGUUGUAGUUGGCGGUGGUGUUUUGGUUAGAACUUAGGAUAUGUCGAAGGGUAAGGAGAAAGUCGUUGAGGUUGGUGACGACGAACUAGGUUUCUUGCCUAGUCUGCUCGCUGAUUCUGCUUUUGACCCCGGGGCCCCCUUAGAACCCACUAGGACUAGUGUCGGGACUAGCGCUAGGAGGACGUCCCCCCACACGACCUCCACGAGCAGAAGUAGUGGUGAAGAGGGAUCUUCUGGCUCGGAAGACACCCUAAGUGAGGAUCAAGGAGGUGAUUCUGGGGAGGGAUCUUCACCAGGAGCGCCGCGACCAGAGAGGCGCAGUACAGUAGGAGGUAGAGCCUCGUUGCGGGAUUAUGCUAUUGAUUACAUGACCUGCACGACCACAUUCAACGAGCUGGAUGACCUCCGGCUCAGGUAUAGCAUUCCUGGUGAAAUUCCUCUCAAGAUCCCAGGGAAGAAGGAUACACCUAGCCGGCCUCCUAGGGGAUAUGUUACCCUGUUUCUGGAAAGCUUUAAGUUUGGGCUAAGGUGUCCCUUACAACCCUACUUUGCCCGUAUACUUAACGGGCUGAAUCUGGCUCCUGGUCAGCUGAACCCCAAUGGGUGGAGAGUGCUCUCUGGUCUGUUCAUAUUGUGGGACAGAUGUUGCCAGAGCGAGCCCACGAUUGAUGAGGUGAAGCACCUAUACCAGCUAAAGAGCAGCCCUAAAGAUGCCGGUUGGUACUACUUCCAAUCUAGUACCAAGAGCAGGAAACCCAUAACUGAUCUUCCAACUGGUGGUGGUGGGACUUGGAAGAGGAAAUUCUUUUUUGCUGGGGGUCCUUGGGGUCAAGUUGCACGGAUUGACGGGAACGAUUAUCGCGUCCCACCCCGUUUCGUGGUCCCAGGUUGUCUGCUCGCUUUAGAUGUCUUGUAUCCAUAAUUGUUCUUGCUUUAUUGGCUUGUCUCUAACCAAGUGUCCAUUUCCAAUCUGCUCGUUUGUGUUGUAGUUUCCUGGGGUGUUCAUUUCCCGCUCCAACUUGGUCAGCUUAAAAGGGUCGAGGCUGUACUGGCCAAUUCCUGCUCGAGCCGAGAACUGCUAUCUACAUACAACUUCCUCGAGUCUCGGUUGAUACUUCCUGGCCAUAAGAUGGAGGACGCAGUGAUUGGAGCUUUGACCAGGAAACGCUCUCGGCCCCCAACAACCAACAGGGACCAGAACAAAGAUGCUCCUGCUGCGAAGCGAAAGAACAUCGUGCAGCAGGUUCCUCCCUUGCAGGCUCUUCCUCUUGCUCUCGCUAAAGUCGGGGAGUCUAGUGGAGCAGCCACUGAUCCUGCUUCCUCUUCUCCACCUGUUGUGCCUCGGUCUCGCUUACCCGACAGCCGACCAGAACACUUGGUUCCCUAUCUCAAUGAGUUGUCUAAACUCGUGAGCAAGAAGGACCUGGAGGACUUUGAUGGUUGUACCCUGGGCGAGCUGGUGGGAGCCAUGCAGUAUAGCGCUUUCCAUCUCAGCUGCAUAACCACCUACUAUAAGGCCAAGGUUGGCCGUUACGACAGGAAGAUGAAGGAGGACAUUUAAUCGGCGACGACCAGAGCUGACGUUGCCGAGAAGAAAGCGGGGGAGCUAAACGUUGAGAACCUCAAGCUGAUAGAGCAAGAGUCUCUUGCUCAAGCAAAAGCCAUUACCCUCGAGGAGGAGUUGACCAAGGUUAAGGAGGAUCUGCAAAGGCAGAGGGCUAUAUAUGAGGCUCAGCUCGAAUCUCUCCGCGAUUCCCACCGAGCUCAGGUCGAGAACUUGGAGAGGGAGGCCGACAACCAGUACGACCAGGGACUUCGGCAUUCCUAUCGUUGCAUCAUGGCCGUCCUCGGGAAGCAACACCCCGAUCUGAAGAUGGAUGACCUUGCAGCUGGUGUUGCUCAACAUAUGGACGAGGAGGCGACCAAGGAAGACGCCGAAGGGGUAGAGCCGAUCGUGAUUGAGGAGGAAAACUCUCCUCCUCGUGCAGUCCCUGCCGAUGUUGGCGAGGCGAGCACCCCCCGAAUGCAACUGGUGAUACCCCUCCUGCACCUGAGGAGGUCCAGCCAACCGACGCUGCUGGGCUUACUGAUCCACGAUCUUCUUGAUAUAUUUCUUGUAUUGUAAUGAACAAUGUUUGUGAAGAUUAUCUGCUUUGUUAAUUAUUAACAAAUUAAUAAAGAUGUUUUUGAUUACUCUCUUGUGUUAUAAUUACGAGAGUCUGCUCGUCUUCGUCUGGUCGAGCUGGCUACGGCUUGGUAUAUGGUUUUGCCACCUGCCUUAGAAAAUUUUUCGAUGUUUGGGAUUCUGCUCGCCUCCGCGCGGUCGAGCAGAUCCUGCCAUGUUUGGUUUCUGUCUUGCCAUAAACAGGCUGUGAGACUUGACGAGCCUUUGCACGUCUUAAAAUUUUUUUUUUUUUUUUGUGCUUCGGAGUCUGCUCGCCUUUACGCGGUCGAGCAGAUCCUGGCAUGCUUGGCUUCUAUCUCGCCGUAAACAGGCUUCGAGACUUGGGGAGCCUUUGCAUGCCUUAGUGUCUCGUUCGACGUUUGGGGAUUCUGCUCGCCUUCGCGUGGUCGAGCAGAUCCUGGCAUGCUUGGCUUCUGUCUCGCCAUAAAAUAGGCUUUGAGACUUGGGGAGCCUUUGCAUGCCUUAGUGUCUCGUUCGACGUUUGGGGAUUCUGCUCGCCUUCGCGUGGUCGAGCAGAUCCUGGCAUGCUUGGCUUCUGUCUCGCCAUAAAACAGGCUUCGAGACUUGGUGAGCCUUUGCAUGCCUUGGGUAAUUUCUUCAAAGCUUGGGAUUCUGCUAGCCUUCUCGUGGCCGAGCAGAUCCUGGCAUGCUUGGCUUCUGCCUCGCCAUAAGACAGGCUUUAAGACUUGAUGAGCCUUUGCAUGCCUUGGGUUAUCUCUUCAAAGCUUGGGAUUCUGCUAGCCUUCUCGUGGCCGAGCAGAUCCUGGCAUGCUUGGCUUCUAUCUCGCCGUAAGACAGGCUUUGAGACUUUGUCGAGCCUUUGCAUGCCUUGGAUUCUUCAAGGAUUGGGAUUCUGCUCGCCUUCACGUGGCCGAGCAGGUCCUGGCAUGCUUGGUUUCUGUCUCGCCAUAAGACAGGCUUUGAGACUUGAUGAGCCUUUGUAUGCCUUGGGUUAUCUCUUCAAAGCUUGGGAUUCUGCUAGCCUUCUCGUGGCCGAGCAGAUCCUGGCAUGCUUGGCUUCUGCCUCGCCAUAAGACAGGCUUUGAGACUUGAUGAGCCUUUGCAUGCCUUGGUGUCUCGUUCGACGUUUGGGGAUUCUGCUCGCCUUCGCGUGGUCGAGCAGAUCCUGGCAUGCUUGGCUUCUGUCUCGCCAUAAAACAGGCUUUGAGACUUGGGGAGCCUUUGCAUGCCUUGGAUUCUUCAAGGAUUGGGAUUCUGCUCGCCUUCACGUGGCCGAGCAGGUCCUGGCAUGCUUGACUUCUGUCUCGCCAUAAGACAGGCUUUGAGACUUGAUGAGCCUUUGCAUGCCUUGGGUUAUCUCUUCAAAGCUUGGGAUUCUGCUAGCCUUCUCGUGGCCGAGCAGAUCCUGGCAUGCUUGGCUUCUGUCUCGCCAUAAGACAGGCUUUGAGACUUGAUGAGCCUUUGCAUGCCUUGGGUUAUUUCUUCGGUUUCAAGCGAAAGAAAUUCCUCGACGUUCUAUUAAUGGCCGGAUUCGGCUUACACGAAAUUGUUUGGACAUAAAGCGUGAGAGAUAAACGACAAUGAACAUGAGUAAAAAUAGCUUUCAAAUGUCAACAAGUCUCACUGGAAGUAUUUUCGGAGGUGUGCUGCGUUCCAUGGGCGUUUCACCUCGUGGCCGUCCGUGCGAACUAGCUUGUAAGCUCCGGGUCCCGCUAUCUGCUUGACUCUAUAUGGCCCUUCCCAAUUCGGUCCCAGCACUCCUUGAGUCGGAUCUUUGGUGCUCUGAUUCACUCUCCUCAGUACCCAGUCUCCGACCCCGAAUUGCCGUAUGUUCACCUUCUGGUUAUAAUAUCGAGCAACCCUCUGUUGGUAAAUGACUGAUCGCUCGGCUGCUUGCUCCCUCCUUUCCGUUAGCAGAUCAAGAUUCAAACACAUCUGCUCGUCGUUCUCCUGCUCAUUGAAAUGACCUGUCCGGUGUGUGGUCGUCCCUAUCUCAGCCGGCACGACCGCUUCAUGUCCGAAAGCCAAAGCGAACGGCGUCUCCCCAGUUGCGAUUUUGUGGGUUGUUCUGUAUGCCCAUAGCACACCUGACAGCUCGUCAACCCACGCACCCUUUUUUGCUCCAAGCCUGGUUUUCAAAAGUCUCUUGAUGGUCUUGUUGGCCGCUUCUACUUGUCCAUUCGAUUGAGGGUGAGCAGGCGAGCAAUAUUUCAGCUCUAUCCCGAGGUUCUGGCAGAACUCCCUGAAACUGUGAUUAUCGAACUGCCUGCCAUUAUCCGUUACCAAGGCAUAAGGGAUCCCGUAUCGACAGACCAGGUUUCUCCACACGAAGUCUGUUGUUUUCUUCUCUGUGAUCCUGCUAAGGGCUUCUACCUCUACCCACUUCGUGAAGUAAUCUAUAGCAACUAUUGCAUGUGUUGCAGCUCCUCGUGCCUUUGGCAAUGGGCCGAUCAGAUCAAUUCCCCAUUGAGCAAAUGGCCAGGGGGAGGUCAUGGAGGUGAGCUUCUCUGGUGGUUGGCUAGAGAAAUUUGCAAAACUCUGGCAGCUUACACAACUCCUGGUCUUUUCUUGGGCAUCCUGGUGCAUUGUCGGCCAGAAAUAUCCCUGCCUUAGAACCUUGUGGGCCAAGGAUCUCCCGCCAGAAUGAUUUCCGCAAAUUCCUUCAUGUACUUCUCUCAGUACGUAAUCCGCGUCGUCCUCAUCCAGACACCGAAGGAACGGUAGUGUAUAUCCUCGCCGAUACAGUACCCCAUCAAUCAUCGUGUAUCUCGAGGCCUGGGCUCUAAUCUUGCGAGCUUGCAGCUUAUCUGGUGGUAAUACCCCGUCUCUAAGGUAUGAGACUAUCGGGUCCCUCCACGAGCGUUUUUGUUCUAUCUGUAACACCCCCAAAUUCUGAUCGAUACUCGGGCUGGACUUCACCUCCAGAGGGACCGACUUGGGCAUUUUUGGGUCGGCUACUGCUGCCAUCCUAGCCAAGAUGUCUGCUCGACUAUUCUGCCCCCUGGGGAUUUGUAUCACCUCCGCGGUUUCGAACUUCCCCAUCAUCUGCCUGACUAUCUUCAGGUACUGCUCCAUCUUGUCAUCCCUUGGUUGGAAUAUUUCACUGACAUGAUUCGCAACCAACUGGGAAUCAGUUCUGAUCUUAACUCUGUCUACUUUCACGGCCAUAGCCAAUUCCAGACCUGCUAUCAAGGCUUCAUACUCUGCCUGGUUAUUCGUAGCUGCAAACUCUAACUUUAUAGCAUAAGAGAUCUCCUCCCCCUCGGGGCCUUCCAAGACAAUCCCUGCUCCUGAACCCCGCUCCCCUGAUGACCCAUCCACAGACACCUACCAUACUUGAGUUUCGUCAUUGCCUACAACCGCCUCUUGUUGAUCUAAGCAUACUUCGGGCUCUGUGAAUUCAGCUAUGAAAUCGGCCAUCGCCUGGGCUUUUAUCGCUGCGCGGGGUUUAUAGUCUAUGUCGAACUCGCUCAGCUCUACGGCCCACUUGACGAGCCGACCAGAGGCAUCCGGCUUGUGCAGAGUCUGACGCAAUGGCUGGUUUGUUAUUACCGAGACCGGGAAUGCUUGAAAAUAUGGCCUCAACUUCCGAGCAGCAACCACAAGGGCAAGUGCCCAUUUCUCCAACGGCGGGUAUCUGGUCUCAGCGUCGAGCAGGGCCUUGCUGGUGUAGUAUAUCGGGUACUGAACUCCUUCUUCCUCUCUCACCAGAACAGAACUGGCGGCCCGAUCCGAUAUCGCCAAAUACAGAUAUAACUUGUCCCCAUCCCUUGGUGUGGACAGCAGCGGAGCUUGCUGCAAGUAUUGCUUCAAGUUCCGGAAGGCUUCCUCGCAUUCUGGGGUCCAUUCUGUUUUCUUUCCCCUCCUUAUCACUUGAAAGAAUGGCUGACACUUAUCUGUAGCCUUGGAGAUGAAUCUGCUCAACGCCGCCAACCUCCCCGUGAGGCUCUGCAUCUCCUUCAGGUUACGAGGAGACGUCAUUUGCACGAUCGCCUGGAUUUUCUCGGGAUUUGCUUCAAUCCCCCUAUGGCUCACCAUGAAUCCAAGGAAUUUCCCUGACUCGACCCCAAAAGCACACUUCUCCGGGUUGAGCUUCAUCUUAUACUUCCUCAAAAGCUCGAAUGUCUCCUCGAGGUGUCCGACAUGUUCCUUCGGGAUUUUGGACUUGGUGAUCAUGUCAUCCACGUACACCUCCAUGGUUUUCCCAAUCAACGGCUUAAAGACUUUGUUCACCAGCCUCUAAUAGGUGGCCCCAGCAUUUUUGAGACCGAAUGGCAUUACCCUGUAACAGAACAAACCUUGGUUAGUGAUGAAGGCCGUGCUCUCCUCAUCCUGCUCGUACAUGGGGAUCUGGUUGUAUCCCGAGAACGCGUCCAUGAAGCUAAGCAGACCAUGUCCAGCAGUUGAAUCUACUAGCUGAUCGAUCUUUGGUAAAGGGAAGCUGUCUUUUGGGCACGCCUUAUUGAGGUCUGUGAAAUCCACACACAUCCUCCACUUGCCGUUUGCCUUCUUUACCAGCACCACAUUCGAUAUCCACUCAGGGUAACUGACUUCCCGAAUGAACCCUGCUCUCAAGAGCUUCUCCACCUCGUCAUUUAUAGCCUCAUACCUCUCCUGGUUGAAGCACCUCCUCUUCUGCCUUACUGCCCGAGCACCUUUCUUCAUUGCCAGCUUAUGACAUGCUACCUCAGGGUCAAUCCCUGGCAUGUCUUCAUGUGUCCAAGCAAACACAUCAGCAUGAGCCUCUAAGCAUUUCACCAACUCCUGCUUUUGCUCUCCCUUAAGUCUCGACCCGAUUCUGAUCGUCUUUCCCGGGUUCUCUGGUCCCAGGCUCACUGUUUCCAGAUCCUCUACAGGUUCUUGUCUGCCCUUCUUGUUUUCCACUCGGGUAUCGAGGGAUGUUAUCUGAAUGGCCUCCCUUGCUGCCGAGGAGUAGCAGCUUCUUGCGAUCCUCUGGUCUCCUCGUACCACUCCUACUACCCCAUUCACCCGGUACUUCAGAGCCAGAUAAUGGUUGGACAACACCGCUUUGCUCAUCCUUAAAAAUGGCCGACCUAGGAUCAUCUGGUAAGGACUUUCUUCAUCCACUACGACGAAGUCCAGUAUCAUUGUUCUUUUUGUCGGGGAGCUCCCAAUUGUGAUAGGCAGCUCGACCACGCCCAGAGGGACCAGCUUCCCUCCUCCGAACCCCUUCAAGGAGGUAUUGGUGUAUUCCAACUUCCGGUCGGCUAUUCCCAUCUCUUCCAGGGUUGACUUAAAUAACACAUCAACUGAGCUCCCCGUAUCAAUCAGUAUCCGAUCAAACUCCUUGCUCGCGACAGUAGCCUUGAUGACUAGAGCAUCCUCGUGGGGGUAUAGAAUCCCUUCCUCAUCCUCAUCCGUCCACAUGAUCGGCACUUGCCUGACUCUUGCUCGUUUGGCUGCUGGGGUGCUGAAGAGUACCUCUUUACUGGUCAUGGCGUACCUCGCAUAAUUUUUUCUCGAUCUGUUGGAGUCUCCGGCCAAUGUUGGGCCCCCAGCUAUCAUCCUUACUGCGGGCUGCUCGCGCCUCAAGUUUCUACCACCCUGCUCCCCUUCACCUGUUGUGGCCUCCAUCGGGAAGGUCCCAUCUAUAAACUCGUCCAGGUACCGAUUUCUCACCAAAUCUUCGACCUGAGUCUUGAGAUCUCUACACUCUGCUGUGGUAUGGCCAUGAGUGCCAUGGAACUUACAAUAACGUCCUCUAUCCCUCCUGUUGGGUAGCUUUGUUAUUGGUGUAGGGGGGUGCAGCAGCCCUCGAUCCUUUAUGGCCUCGUACACCUCAUCCAGGGACAUCUUCAAGGAAGUGUACCGCCCAUAGUCCGGGUUCUGGUCGAUCAAGUGCACUGCUCUUUCUUUGUUUGCCCCGCUCUGAGUUGGGGGCGGUGGAAGUACUCCUGGUCUACUCGCUCUGCUAUCGUGGGGAAGACCACCAGAUGCCGACUCAUGUCUUCUCCAAGGCUCCCUAGCUGGGGAACGGGGAGGUUGCGCCCUGCUGCGCUGAUAUUGUGGUGGCCUCUGAUGAGGCUGGUAAGCAGUCAUCAGACCUCCUGCUCCACCACCGGAGGCCUGGUGGUCCCUCCUCCUGAUCGGCCCAUUCCCCGGUAAUGCUUUCUUCUCUUUCCUCCCCAACCCUUCUAAUUGGUCUGUCUUAAUCCGUGCAACCUUCUCCUCUUCGAUCUCGAUGUCUCUCUUUGCCUGUUCGUAUGCGGCUGCAUACGUUUGAAUCGCUGGGCUUCUCAGAUUGUACCACAGCCUUCCUAUCUUCACCCCUUCCUUCAAUCCCCUUAACGCCUGAGGGUAGUUGAAGGCCCCCAAGUCGAGGACAGCCCGAUGAAACCUCUUGAUGAAUUCCCGAAGGGUUUCUUGCUCCCCCUGUUUCAUGCUUUUCAGCUCCAUCAUGUCAUCCUCCGGUGCCAUUGCCCCACUAAACUGCUCCGCGAAUUCCUGGCACAUCUGCUCGAAGGUUUUAAUGCUGCCCCGAGGAAGUUUCCUGUACCAUUCUCGUGCACGUCCCUCAAGGGAGAGUGGGAACACCCUGCACCUUUGGGGUCGAGAUAAUCCUUGUACCCCGGUUAUGUCGUUGAAGCGCUCUAUGUGCACCAGCGGAUCAGUUCUUCCCGAGUAUCUGAGGUCUGGGAGGCGGAAAUCUCUCGGAAUAACUGCCCUCAUGAUCUCUGCUGCGAGCGGUGAUUCUCCGUCCAGCAUUAUUCUCCAACCAGGGGCUCUGUUCCUUCCUUGCAUGUCGUCAAUUAUCUGCGCUAGUCUGCGCACUUCCUCCUCCAGCUGCACUGCACGACCAGGGUCACGUGCUGCAACUUGAUCCCGCUCUUGCUCUACAUCAUGCACGUGUUGCCUCAACUCUGUUUCCUCCGCAUUCACCACCCCGUCGUCCUCGUCACUAGUCUGUCUUGCCGGGGACUGCUCUCGUUCUCUAUGAAAUUCUCCCCGCAGAGGUACAUUACCCCUCUCACCACCGAAUCUCCCGGUGGUUUGACUUCUCCCCGCACUAUCGGGACCUGGUGCCACUCCACCGCCUCUCACCCUUCCCUCUCGGGUUACCCCUCGCUCGCUCCGCAGCUCAUGCAAGAUGGUUGUCAAGGUUUCCAUCUGCUUUUCCAUCCGUUCCAUCCGGUCGAACAUGACUUUUUCCCGUGCCUCACUGACUAUCUCCCUCAGCGUCACGGAAUCGUUAAGCCUCCUAUCACCCCCUUGUGCACUACUUCCUCCUGUCUCCAUCGCUUUUCACUUGCUUCACCCCUCUCCUUGUUAUCAACAGAAGCUUUUUGCUCUCUCCUCCCCACAGACGGCGCCAAAAUGUUGAUGCGAGAUUCCGGUACUCCUCGUUCUACGACCAGGAUCUCUGCUCGAUCAACUUCAUCACGACCAGGGGGUCUCCUCGCGAGGCUUCUUCUCCAGAGGUUCCUGCGCACACAGACAAGUCAGGGUACGCCGGUUGUUUUCCCGGCGCAAACCCUCCGACGCUCAAGUCAAAUAUGAAGGCUCGGAGAACGCUGACCACCAAUGUUAUCGCUGUUGAGUUGUUUUCUCCCCUUUUAGAAUCAAAAUUGCUUCUUGUUUUGAUCUCAAAAAUGCCAACCUUUUUACCUUCGUUGGUUACCUUUUUAUAGGCUUCCCCUGAAUUCCAGUCUUCCGCUUUUUUCUAGACAGCAUGGGGCUCUCACUGCUGCGUUAUGGGCAAACGCGGAAUCUUGCGUGUUACGCCACGGUUCUGGGGAAAGCGUGGCUGUCGUGGUUCUGUGAGAUCUUGCGUGUUACGCCACGGUUCUGGGGAAAGCGUGGCUGUCGUGGUUCUGUGAGAUCUUGCGUGUUACGCCACGGUUCUGGGAAAAGCGUGGUUAUCGUGGUUCUGUGAGAUCUUGCGUGUUACGCCACGGUUCUGGGAAAAGCGUGGCUGUCGUACUUAGAUUCUCGGGCUGGGGAGCCCGUCUUGCCCACUGUCGUCGACUGGGUCUCCUCGCCUCUCGACCUCUAGCCGGAAUGGCCUUAUGCCUCUUACAGGAAAUUGGCCUCGUGGAUGACGUGCUCGUGGGUGAGCAGGAUAUUUCUGUUCCUGUUCCCCCGCGCGCCAGGCUUUUACGGGACAUACCGGUUCGCAGAACUCUGCCAUCAGAUAUCCGCUCACCAAGCCUGGUCUCGUCGACGUAUUUCUCCUAAACAACAAGCGUAACAAUUAAUUGAACCACAGAGAAAGAAAUUUCCGCAGUCCUAACUAGUUGCAUCUGCCUAUGUACUCUAGUUGCAGUUCUGGUUCUUCCCAUGAUAUAAGUAUACAUACUCGUAGCAAAACCAAAUGCUGACAAUAGAAAUACAGCAAGAAGAAUUAUUCUCUUCAUUUUUCCCAGGGUAGAUUGCCAAUUUUCCAGUUACUGUUAUCUCCUACCAUUUUUGUAAUCUCUAAUAAUUCCCCUAACAACAUAAGUUUAUAAUAUUACACUUAUUUUCAAAUACACUUUUAUUCAUAUUUAUUAUAGAUUAAAUAAAUCACAUGAAUCAUUUGAUUUUUAUUGCCUAAUCGAAUUGAACCGAACUGCCAUAAUACAGCUCAAUUAGAUUCAGUUUGGAUUGAACCAAGUCAAAUGCUCACCCCAAUCAAGAACAUGUUAUUUUAAUGUUCGUUUUCAUUUCAACUUGGGAAGAACCAAAUAGAAAAAGGGAAACAACCAUUUGACUCUCCUCCCUAUUUGAAAUUUUAAUGGCGUGGGAUUCUCUUUGAAAUUUCCAUUGAAAACUAAAAUCAAACAUAAUUUUCAUACCCGACUUCAUAGCAAUCCAAAUCUAGUUGAAUUAAGUACACAUAGACAAAUGUAUAGCUUAUGUGUGUACAUAUUUGUUAAUAUUACAAAAGGGUUCAUGAGUCCCUCUCACUCUACAAUAGGCAACUACAACUGCAACCCAUUCCUUUUUUCUUUAUUACAUUACAAUACCCACCAUGACCAUCUCCACCUACUUGCCUCUACUGCCGCCAGAUGCCUAAUGCUACUGCAUUUACCCUCCACUUCACUUUUUUGUUCAUGACUUUUAUUUGCCCAUCAUGCCAUUUUCAAUUAAGCCCAUUUUUCAAUUUAAAGUCAUCAUGGAUAACCUAGAUAUUUCUAUUAAGAGAUGCUAAUAACAUGUCGAUAAUCAAAGACUCAUUGCAACAAUAAUUCUAGUACAUGUUCAAGAGCAAUACUUCAUCAAAAUCAGUAUAGUUAAUUGUGCGGUAAGUAAAUUCUAUCACGUCGCAUGUAUAAGUAAUAAGUUGGCGAUAAUGGACAGAAAAAUAAAAUUUCUUUAUAAAUAUUUCAAAACAAAUUUGAUCUCGUCAAAAUAAUAAUUAUAACAAAAUUAUCAAAAUAAAUCUUAAUUUGUAAUUGUAAUCAAUUAGAAAUUAAGGAGAGCACAGAAAGAAGACCAAUGAAAGAAAUAAAUUAAAAAAGGCAGAGAUUGAGGCAGUCAUAAGAUUGAGCUUACCUUGAAUAGAGAUUGAGGCAGUCAUAAGAUUGAGCUUACCUUGAAUAGAGAUUGAGGCAGUACGGAAGCGACGACGGAGAUUAAGGGACUACAACAGCGAUGAUGAAUAGCUGAGUAUUGAUGAUGGGUGGAAGCUGUUACGACCUUAGGGUGAUGACGACAGUGGAUUUAUUACCGGCGACGACACAAAAUCAUAAAUCACGACAGGAGAUUUUGAAAAUCACGACAGGAGAUUUUGAACUUUCACGACAGGGGAUUUUGAACUUUCACGACAGGGGAUUUUGAACUUUGGUGCACAGGAGAUGAUGAUAGCAAAAGAGACCAGACUUUGGUGCAUGGGAGUCAACGGCAGUGGGUAGUCGAGUGACGCCGGCGACGUGGUAGAUUUAGGGAUUUUGUAAGUUUUCGUUUGUAAGUUUUAUUCACUUAGACGAAAUGAGGGUAAGAGAUCGAUUGGGGAUUUUGUUUUUUAAUUUUUGUUCUUUAAUCUUUUAAUAUAAUAUUUGGGUCUUAAUUCUAUCGGUUUGCUGGUUUGCGGAACAAACAUAAGUAUUUUAGAUUUUAGAAGUCUUAGGUUCGAGUUCAAAGUUUUACCAAUUCUAAUUAUUUUUUUUAAACUUUUGAUACUGUAGUAUUAGUGAUUUUUAAUAUUUAAUUUACUGACACGUUAGUAUCAAUAAUUUAUAAUACUUGUUUGUUAAAAGCGGAAAAUGGUGCAUAUGUACAUAAUUACUGAUACUUUUUAUAAAGUGUCAGAAACUAAGUGUCAGUAAAGGUCAUUUUUUUAGUAGUGAGUGCACCUUGCCUCAUGGUUCUCUCCCCUUUUACUUUUUCUCUAUGGCUGGUAAUCUGUGAACCACACGAGCCUCUAAACCGCCUGGUGCCUUUAGGCACGUUAUAGAAUGAUUUUAAGCAGCAUAGGACAGAUCUUAAACCAUGGCAGCAAAUACUCAAGGCAAUAAAUUGACAAUACAAUAAAAAUACAACUGUUACGUUAUUAAAAAAUUCCAAUUUGAAAAUACGAUUAAAACUACUGAAAUAUUUAUUAAGAGAAAUUUAUUGAAUCUCUUUCAUCUAAUCAUAAGGAGACAGAGAUAAUCUUAAAGAAUCCAAUUAUAAAAACAUGAACGUGAGCGAUAAAGAGAGAUUGUAUUUGACUAUAUCUCUGUUUCUUUUUCAUUUUAAAUUUAAAAUUACCUAUUUUACAGGUUUGUUAACCAAUUAACAUAAUUAAAAAUAAUUAAAAAUUUUCAUUAAUAUAAAUAAUAUGUACUGUUGAUUAGAUCUAACGGUAUAUAUUUCCCACACUACUGAUACCGUAAAAAAAUUACGGUAUCAUAAAGGGACCCUUGAAAAUAUUAUUAUUAUUAUUUUCAUAAAUGCUCCAAAUAUAAGAUUUAUAGCUCUUAGAAUUUUAUUUUUUUUUCAUAAAGGGUCCCUUUAUUCUUCUUGGUUGAAAGCAUAAAUAAAGGGUCCCUUUAUUCUUAUUCUUCUUAGUUGUUAGAAUAAUAUUGGACAAGAAAUAAUUGAGUAUGUUGAAAAUUCUCAAGAAAAUUAUCCAUUUGGAAGCAUAAAUAUAAGACAGAAAUAUGAAAUUAAUGAACUUAAUUUGAAGAACGUUUAUUAGCAUUAUCUAUACGAUCAUGCAUAUAUGAGGCCUAUAAGAAGGUUAAUGAUUCUUACAACUCAUGGUAUUUAUUACAGCCAGAAUAAAGUCAACUAAUUACAUAUGCAAGAGAAAUAAUUAAGUAAUUAAGUUGUAAUUAAUUAAUCACAAAGAAUGGCUCAUGUACUUUUUAGAUUGAAGCCCUUGCUGGGAAGUUCAAUUCACUUUUAUCACAUAUGAUCAAAACCACAGUUUCUAGUGUAAUUUUUUGGGGGUUUUGUUGAUUACAUGGAAAGCAACUAAUUACUACAGCUGAAGCAUGCAAAACAAGAUUAGAAGCACAAUACUUUUUGGAUCUGAAGGGGCAAUUUUUUUUUCAAGUUUGUUAUAUGUUCUUUUGUGAAGACCUGAAGAUUUUAGAGCCAGAUUAAUAAUUUUGUCUCUCUUAGGCUUUAUGCGGUGGGAAUGAACUUUCUCUCUUUUAAUUCUCUGUCGUUUUCUCAAUGAAGGCAACAAGAGAAAAUUCAAUCUUUCAAAGUCUCAACAUUCAGAAUUUGGCCAGUCUAGUUGUCGACCUUGCAUCUGCUACAGUAUAAUAUCGCCAAGAGAUUUUUUCGUUGCACUUUACGAAUUUAUAUUAUUUUGAGGAGGGAAUUUAGCUGACUAUUAACGUCUUACAAUUGAAAUUUAAAUGUCGGUCUUUAAAUUCUAAAAAUUAAAGACAAGCCCAAUAUGAAAAUAUAGAUGUUAAAAUCUUCAUUUUUGUUUAUUGAUACUUUAUUUGUUAGUAUCAUUAUUUUAUAGAUAUACUUGAUGUUACACGAUUGACUAAAUAUUUCCAUUAAAAUGCAGAUGGAAAGAAAAGAUGAUGGAGGGCUCCAUAAAAGCAUAAAAACAAACGGAGAGGGUGAAGCAAACUUUCAAAAUUGCAACCAUGAGAAGGAAUCGACAAAGCUUAAUGAAAAAAUAGAUGGGAUGACUUUUAAUCAUGCCACUGUUAGGUAUGAACUUGGUGAGCUGAAGAGGAACAAUUUAGAUACUUAUGCAUUGAUACAAAAAAUGUAUAUUGUAGUUGGAGCACUUAAACAUAAUAUAACUCAUAUGCAAUCACACCCAUGGAAGGAAAAGAUGAACCCUUCUAGUAAAGAUGUUCAAAUAGUAAAAAUGAAUCAGGUGGUCAAAAUUUCGCAGGCAAGGGAGAUGAGUUUAGGGUGAGGAUCGCAGAGAUUAAGGACAAUAUUGAAGACGCAUGUGGUGAAAAUUUAUCAUUGAAAAUAUUAUUUGCAUAUAGGAAACUGAAAGAGAACCAAAUCUUCCACAACUGCCUUGGAACUACGCAAGACCCGAAGUUUCUGAAUUAAUUGAUAUCAAUUAACAAGGAAUAAAAUUACAAAUUAUUUAUUUCUAGAAAUAUUAUUCCUCAAGAGUUCAAAUAAUUUUACGGUUAUCUUUUUGAAGAUUUUUACAUGAAGAUAUGGAUUAAAGAAUGCCAACUGCUCAAAAUCACUCAAGCAACCAAGUAUAUGAUUAUAAGUCAAAUUUCAUGAUUUAACUGUAUUGAUCUAUAAUAUAUGAGAUUGCAUAAUAUAUAUAUAUCCUUUGAUAGAUAAAUGUGUCUAGUUAUGGAUGAAAUUUAUAAAAUCACAUUUGGACUUCUCUUCUUAAAGAUUUUCACAAUUUAGUGCACAAAGGUCACAACUAUCUUGAAACUACACAAGACCCGAAGUUUCUGCAUUAAUUGAUAUCAAUUAACAAUUAAUAAAAUUACAAACUAUACAUUUCUAGAAAUAUUUAUUCCUCAGGAGUUCAAAGAAUUUUACGGUUUUUUAUUUGAAGUUUUCUACAUGAAGAUAUGGCUUAAAGAAUGCUGACUGCUCAGAAUCACUGAAGCAACCAAGUAAAUGAGUAUCAACCAAAUUUCAUGAUUUAACUGUAUUGAUCUAGAAUAUAUGAGAUUGCAUAAUAUAUAUUCUUUGAUAGAUAAAUGUGUCUAGUUAUGGACGAAAUUUACAAAAUCAAAUUUGGACUUCUCUUCUUAAAGAUAUUCACGAUUUAGGGUGCGUUUAGGAGUGAGGUGCUGUAGCUUUUAAGCUGCAGUUGCUGUGGAGUAAAAGCUAUAGAUGUGAAGUGGAAGUUGAUGGUGUUUGGUAAAGGUGCUGUAGCUUUUAAGCUGCAGUUGCUGAUGGUGUUUGGUAAAAGUGCUGUAGAUUUUAAGCUGCAGCUACUGAUGGUGUUUGAUAAAUUUUAAUAGCUGUAGAGUGGAUGAAUAUUUGUAAUAACUAAUUUUAAAUAACAUUAUUUUUAAUUGUUAACAAAUCAAUUAUUUUUCAUUCUUCAAAUUAUUAUAUUGACAUACAAUUACAAUUUAUUACUUUACAAAUUAAAUUAAUAUUUAAUAAAUCAAAUUUAUUUUUUUGCACAAGUUGUAGUAAAUAAUUUAUAAAACACAUCAUGGGGCCAAUUAUAAAUAAUUUUAAAUAACUAUUAUUGACAAUGCCAACCAGGCAGUGUACAUGAUAUGCUUCUCCAAAUUGCUUCGGUUUGUACAUGAUAUGAUUAAUCGAGUAUUAUUUACAAUACCAAAUAUAUCUAAUAAAAAUCAUACAACAAAACAAAACAAAAUAAAAUUAAAAUGUAAUUAAUUACAAAAUUUGUAUAAAUAUUUCUGUUGUUGUACCUCCAUUAAACUUGCAGCAAUGCCAUUUUUCAAGAUUAUUAUAUCUUGAGUUGUGCUAUCAAUUGUUUCAUAACUUUCUUCAUGAGAUGCAAUAUGUUCGCUAAUACUAUGACUUGGUUCAUCCGUCAUUUCAUCAAAAUGAUCAUUAUUUUGUGAAUAUCUUCUGAUAUAAUUAUGCAAGGCCAUGGUAGCAAUAACUAUUUUCACCUGCUUCUUGAAUGGAUAGCUUGGCAUACUUCGUAAAAUCUUCCAUGUAUUCUUCCAAAGCCCAAAAGUACGCUCAAUAACACUUCUUAAGGAAGAGUGCUUGUAGUUGAACAAUUCUUUAUAACCCAUUGGUUAGCUACCUCUACAAAAUUCAGGAAGGUGAUAUCUUUCACCCUUAUAUGGUCCUAAGUACCCACAUAACUCCGGAUAUCCUGCAUCUACUAAAUAGUAUUUUUCUAAAAAUAAAAAAGAAAAAUACAAAAAUAAAUAACACAAUCUAAUCAAUUGAAUAAGUAUAUAUAAAAAAAAAUUAGAAACACAAACCUGGAGGAGGGUUUGGAAAAUUGAACGCAGGAUUCGUAAUAGUUGUUUGAAAUACCCUUGCAUCAUGGGCACUGCCUUCCCAACCAGCCACUGCAAAUAUGAAUUGCAUAUCAAAGCUACAUACAACCAUUACAUUUUGAGUUUAUGUCCCUUUUCCACCAAUAAAUGGAAUUUGAUCCUCCGAAGAUAUUGAGUCAGGUAUACGAACACCAUCAAUAGCACCAAUACAAUCCUUAAAGUAAGGCAUAUAUAUUGAAUCUUCAGAUAUCUCUUUGGGAGUGGUAAUAAAGUCAGGAUCUAACGGUUUUAUCAAAUCUACGGACAUACGACACACACUAUCAAAUAUUUUGUCAAAAUAUCUACUCACAGUCUCACCAGAAUGUUGGAACCGCUCCAUUGUAGACCGAUUUCCUACACUUUGUCCUAGUAUAUACAAAAACAUUCCUAACAUCUCAGCGCCACAUGUUCUCCUUGAACUCUUUAACCCAUAAUUAUCUUCUAAGUCGGUGCAUAAUCUUAAAAAUACAUCACUAUUCAUUCGAAACAUGUUAAAGCACCUGCUUACAUUUCCACCAAGUAUUUCUAUCAACCAUUUAUGCCCUGUUUGAGUAGAAUUCAUACAAGGCUCCUUAUGGAUGAAUGUCAAAUAAUAAUGAUGCAUCAAAACAGCUGUUACACAAACAAGCUGGUCAAACUCCUCUUCAUCAUUAUCCAUAUUUUUAUAUCAAACUAUCAGCUGGCUGAAUUCAAACUCCACUCUCAAAGUAAAUUAAAAGGGAGUAUGCCUACCUCGUUAGAAUUGCUUCAACAGGAUAAAUUAAUUAUGUAUGCUUGGGCAUGUGGAUUUUGUGAAGGAAAUUAUACACCAAGAGCCAGAGCUUGCUGAAAGUUUAAGACAUAAUUAUGGAAGAUAUACUAAUAAUAAUUUCAAUGCUAUUAUUUUUCCUCAAGCAAAUAGUCCAGAAAAAUUUCCAUUUUCUAAAGCGUACAAACAUAUCAUAUCGUAAAGUAAAGAGAAAUUUUUUUUCCAUAAUUCUCAUAUUAAUGUUUAUAACAAAACUUCUCUAGCUGGCCUCUCCAGUAGAAACUCAUCUAAGUAAAGAGAAAAAAAAUUCUAUACCGAUCAAGUGCACAAGAAGAAAUAAAAAAUGAAGGGAUUAUUUUUUAUACUUUGGAGGAAACUCAUUGUUUCAAAACUGGCAAGUGUAGAUUAACGUUUAUUACAUGGAAUAGAAAAUGGCACACCAUAUAAAUGCAAUAAAGUAGUCAAAACUGAACUUUCAAUAAGGAAUUUUCCUUACAGUAGUGGUGGAGCAGGCAACAAAAGCAAUAUGAGGAUCUACUUUUGGCGAACAACAUGCAAAAAAUCACACCUUUUUCAAAAGUUCUCAUGCCAUCACUUGCACACACUCAUGGUCACACCUAUUACUAAUCUACUAUUUCAUGUAAUAUAGUUAUAUUCAUUCAAGACCAUAUUUAUAAAAUCAUAUCAACCAUUUUUCAUAAAUAAUGUGCAACUGCAACCCUAGAAAAAACACAUACGAAGAAGUAUGAUUUCCAUUCUAGAAUUUCCAUUCAACACUGCAAAGGCUGUCGCCCUAGUUUUCACACAAAAAUACAACAAAAGUAGGCCAUGGAGCAUGUCAGAAUUACAAAACUUAACCGUAUAGGAACUAAUACCAAAAACACAUAUGCUAUUAUUUUUCCUCAAGCAAAUAGUCCAGAAAAUUUUCCAUAAAUAAGCCUCAAGCAAAUAAAUCAAUAGCAACAAUUCAUAUACAUUGUAAAUGUAAUAUAAAGUGUAAUCAGUGACAAAAUAAAAAGUAUUCAUUCAUAAACAUAAUUUACAAAAUAUUGUUUCAUAAAUACAAUACAUUUUCAC
RNAcentral lists this long non-coding RNA (57789 nucleotides) under Citrus x clementina. RNAcentral describes it as "Citrus clementina (C. clementina) long non-coding RNA (CCLE_LNC006038)". Lineage: Eukaryota; Viridiplantae; Streptophyta; Magnoliopsida; Sapindales; Rutaceae. The record is from RNAcentral.